GUCGUGCUAUGCACAGGACAAAAUUUGAACGAUUCACACACGAAGAUUGAAUACUGCUAGACAUGCAUAUGAGUGAGAAGGGCACUAGCCGCUGGAUUUGUGUGCACAGCUCGGGCACAAGUAUCGUUUGUGGAGCAGUUUAACAUUAGCUAAUGGCGCAUCAUAAUAGUCCACGUUUCAACAGGGCAACCCUACAAAAUUGGUGUGCUACAUAUAUAAGACUUACAUACACAACAGUAGCAUGCAUUAUUCAAAAGAGCAACAUCCUAGUGUAAUCCUCCAGGGCGGGGAGCCUCUGCUCAUCGUCAUAGCCAUACAUGAUGCUGACCAUCCUUGCAAAGUUGAGAGACGUCCCGAUGAAGCUAGGUGGUAGUGUGGACUUUGUCUGAGAGAAGCAUUCCCUGUUUAGAUCCUCCCAUUCACCCGCUAUCAUAUCCAACAUGUGCUUCUCUGCAUCAGCAUGAGGGUUUUCUCUCUGGUACAAAUCCUUGUAUGAUCCGUCGAGCCCUUCCUGCAACUCAUCCUGCAUGGGACACAUAAUUUCUUUUCAGAUCAUGCCUAAUGUUGUCAAUGUCAACUUGAAUGCACACCCACCAGGAUAUGGUACGAAAUAACUCAUGUAAAUAAUUAGUAUUACUAAUCACAUAGUCGUGCGAUAAACUUCUCGGUGAUUCUGACCUUUGCACUCCCCAUGUCAUCCCAGAGCCUCAUGAUCUUUGCAGGGCAGGAGAUGACCCUAAGGAUGUGGUCGUUGUUGUCCUCUGUUAAGUCAUGCCCAAGCAUGAAUAAAAGAUGCAAAAAUAAAAGUGGUGCUCCUGAAGUGAUGACACCAUUUCUUAGGUAGUCCUCCGAUGUGGGAACCUGAUUAGUAGAUAGCCAUUUUCCCUCGAUCAUGAAUCCAUCAAACAAAGUUGCCCACUGCAAGAAAAAAGGCAUGAAUGUAAUAUUAAUUCUUCCAUUGUUAUUUUCUUAUAUUUUAUUUCAUUACAAUUAAUCACAAAUUAUAUAGUACACAGAAAUACGUGAGGUGGUACUAUUAAUAUAUUUAUUAGUUGCUUAGACAAAUGAAACUAAAGAAAAUUAAAAAACAUUCGAGUAAACAUACUGCUUGCUUGAGAUGAUUGAUAGGAUUCAGUCCAUGCUCUUUUAUGACCAUAUCAGCGAUAUCAUUUGUGAUGGUGUAAAGAGCCUUGUAACAUGAUAUCAUGUAACUCGGCAGUGACUCAGCAGCUGCAAGAUCCCACCUGUCAAAAUAUGCACUUUGCGCGUGAAACUUCUGUAAUAAAAAUUAUAUUAUGUGUUCAUGUAUAAGGUCGUGACUAACCAGUGAGUUUGAUUAUACCAUUAGCAAAAAUAGGCCAUUCUGGGCAUAAACAGCCUUGAGUAUGCACUGCUUUUUCUUUUUGUAUGAAUGAUUAUAAAACUAUUAGUAUAUCAAGAUAUUUCUCGCAAAGGCCUAAUGUUUAUGUAAAACCAAUCCUAAUACCUCUUUAUACAUGAUGUGUCAAAAUUAUAGAAUUUUUAAUGUGCAAUUAGACAUAUCUAAGAUGUCAUUCAUUUACAAACAAAUGUAAUUAUACUUCAUUCCUAAAAUUCAAUGUUGUUGUUAUUACGGGAACAUCAAUGCUCACAUUUUGAUUGCCUCAUUAAAGAGAGAGAGCUCCUCAUGUGUGGCGACAAGAUCAAAGAUGUCAUCCACAAUGUAGACCAUUGAGAUAACCUUUGUGGCCUCAACCCGAUACCUUGAGAAGGAGAAACCCUCGAGGAUAGUCAUGGACCACAUGUACCAUUUCAGAACUUGGUCCCUUGCAGCUGGAAUUUCUUGAGACAAUCCCAAAUCCACCCACCAUCUGUGUGAAAAUGACGUUUUCAUAGUAAAAAAACCACCACACCAUUAAUUGUACCAAUACAUGAGCAAAAAAAUAUGUUAAUCUAUUAAUUCCAAGUGAGUUCUCUCUUAUCAAUAUGUAGGUGGGCCAAUGUCCGCAACAACUAAUAAUGGAAGGAGUGUAUUUUAUUAUACCUCUUAACCUCCUGCAUUUCACUUUGGUGUUGCAACUUCUUCAUCUGAAAUUCUACAAGUGCCAGCUUCUCAAUUGCAGUGUGCAUGGUAGGCAAGUUCUGGAGGUAACUCAAAUGAUGCCUAGCCUUGUAUUGCUUCAGGCUCACAUGGUAGGGAUGGUCUAGUGACUUCAUCACAUAUCUCGCAAGGUUAGGCUCCAAAUACUUAAGUGAAAAUUUCAGGUGCUUGCUUGAGAAUUCCUUUGCCUUGUAGAGUGAAGCUUCUCCCAUGUUGAGGUGUGACAUGUCAUGCAAGCUCAGCAACCCUCUAAGGUCUUUGCUAUGCCUAAGGUUGAAAUCACCAUUAUCGUUUGUGAACUUCUGAAGAACAUCGUCUGCCAUACACCGACAAGAAGGGGUCUUAGGUGCAUGCCAUACAUAACGAAAAUAAUACGUCUCAUGAGAGGUGCUUCUAUGCUACACAAGGGAAUGUUCUUUUUUAUUAUUAAACUUGGUUACUCUAAGGCUAAUUUAUUAUUAGCAAAAUUAUCACAAUAAAUCAUCAUUGACAAAAUUGCACUCAAGUUUCCAACCUGGUGUGUUUAUCCCAACAUACUAAACUAGUAUUUUACUGACCUGCCGAAAUAUAAUAUCCAACUUCUCUCAUCAGCCUUAAGGAAAGGGUUGCGUCAAGUAGAUCAUCACUAUGGAGAAGAUCCACAGACGACUCCAUUAUGUUAUCGAUUUCAUCCUGGAAAUAGUGGUCAAUGCAGAGGCGUUUGAGGUGAUCAACCGUGCUCAACAUUCCUUUGUUGCUUUUCAGAUGUUGAUGAAGCAACGCUUGAACAUUCAAUAGGCUUUCCUGGUAUUGCACAUAGAGCAAACUUCUUUUUAAAAAGAAUACAAAGUCUAGAUAAGUGCAAUAUAUAUCAUAUAUUAUUUGCAUUCAACAAUAGGCAAUAUCAUAGGAAAAUAGUGCAUCUAAUGUAGGUUUAUAUUUUAUUAACAUAGUUCGGAAAUUAACAAUAAAAGAUAGAGAUUGAAAUUGUGCUCAUUCCAGAAACAUCAUUAAUUAUUUAAUGAAACACACAUUUUCUAUGUCUCGCUGGUUCCUGAAGAGGAGUCAUUAUUCAAAGUUAUCUUGAAAAGCCAAUCCAUGAAUUGCUAGACUGUGGUUAUAAGAUUCUUGAGGAAGGAUUAAAUUUUUGACUCGAUUUAUACGACAUCAAUUUAGGGACGGAGACAGUAUAAUUAGCCAGAAAAAGGCACACAAACAUGCUAAUUGCAUUCAAAGUACAUUCUAAUGUUGCGGUCUAUAUAUGUUUGUACCGUAAAAAUAUAUACCUGGAAGUCAAAAUCAUCGGACAGCUCAUGGGACACAGGCUCCCGCCCGGGAUAUAUCACCGGCGAAGGGCGAAAGAAGCCACUGUUUCGGCCACUCUGGCCACCACUUCUGGCCACCGGCAAAGCCGAAUGGAGCAAUGGCGCGAAGGAGGAGAAGGAGAAGCAUGCAUGCGCAGCAGCCAUCACUAGCCGACUAGCGUACUUAAAUAAUGUGAUGUGUGUUACAGCUGAUCGACUAGGCAGGCUACCUAAUUAAUUAGGUAACUAACUAGCAUGGAUGAUAUGGGAUGAACAAGAGUACGUAGCAGGCUGCUGCUUCUGCUAUGUCUUGGGAUGGAUGGGGGAUAUGAGCAAUGCAUGCAUGCCCUCCAGAUUUAUAGAGGAGACGAGGUUGAGCAAUGCCGCGUCGAUCCUCCACCGAGUGGCGAGCCAUGUGGAAAAUUUACUACUAAACGUCAUGCAUGCGCUAAUCAAGUUUAGUUUUUCGUCUAGGGCUAGUGCACCAUGCAUUCUUUGUUUGGAGAGUGAACCAUGCAUGCACCACGCACCAUGCACCUUGCUCUGCACUCUGAUGUCUAGUCUGGUCGUCGUUAGGAGACAAAUACCGCGACAUCGUUCGUGCACACGGUUUCUCCCUGCACUGCACCCACAAGAGCCACACACGUAAGUAGUACUACUCUAUAUAGCUAUAUUUGUACGUCCAGCCACGUGAACGUCCAGCCACACACGUAAGUACUCUGACACCUGGACAAAAGGGUCUAGGUAGUAGAGGGGGCCAUCGAAAGGUCUCCAGAUUGACCAGUUUUCCAACGGUUGCUGCCUGUCAAGCUCACGACAAUGUAAGUAUGACAUGCAUGCACAGUAGCUAGCUACUAAUAGAGCGGUCAAAAAACAUUUACCCCACCUCCACACCCCCAAAAUGUAAAGUGUGUGUACAAUACAAUGACUGGUACAGCUUCCAUUGUCUCGUGUGUGUAAGUGACGCUUUCUCGAAUUCUUGGGUCAAAUUGUUACUUUUGGUUGUUACAUACAAGCGCACUGUUCAGCAACGUAACAUUGAUGUUGAACGGAAGAUAGACGUGAAAAAUAGAAAAAGGGACAGAAAGGAUGGAGUCUUCACGGAGACUGGUGGCCCCGCAAUGAGUCAAAGCUCUAGAUCCAGUGUAUCUCUCAGCACCUAAAAGAAAGUUUUUAUUCAACACGAAAUUGUAUUUCUAGCCAUUUAUCGACCUGAAGUUAGCUUUCUUACAAAUUUAGAAAAACACUCAGUUAUGUCCAUGUCACCCGCAAAAAAAUUAUACUGUUGAUGCAUCAACCACUGAUGCCAUUAUCAACUUUGACCCCCAGCUGAACCAUGCAUGCACAGUAGCUAGCUACUAAUAGAGCGGUCAAAAAACAUUUACCCCACAAAAUGUAACAUGUGGGUGUACAACGACUGGUACAGCUGGCAUUGUCUCGUGUGUAAGUGGCGCUUUCUCGAAUUCUUGGGUCAAAUUGUUAUUAUUUAAAUUUGAAAAAUUUGUUAUUAUUUACUUUUGGUUUGUUACAUAGAAAGAGCACUGUUCAUCCACGUAAAAUUGAUGUUGAACAGAAGAUAGACGGGAAAACCAGAGAAAGGGACAGAAAUGGCGGAGUCUUCCCGGAGACUCAUGACCCGCAAUGCGUCAAUGGCCCAGUGAAUCCCUCAGCACUGCUUCAUUACCAACCUACAGAAGGGUCUUUUUUUCAGAAGAGAGGCGUCACGCCUACAAAAGGGAUUGAUCAGCCCACUUAAGUGAAUAUACCACUUCUCAACCUAAAAAAUAAAGUUUUUCUUCGACGUGAAUUCAUAUUUCUAGCUAUUUAUCGAUCUGUAUGUAGCUUUCUUACAGUUUUAGAAAAACACUUAAGUAUGUUUAUGCUGUCCAUGUCACCCGCAGAAAUGUUAUACCGUUGAUGCAUCUUUUACAGUCUUUCUCUUAGAAAGCAGCUUAUAGCUAGAAGACAUCCAGGUGGGUAGUAUUUCACGCUCUCUCAACAUUAUGAAAUAGUGGUACAAAUAUAGCACCAAGUUACACCACAAAAAGUCACCAUCGAUAUCUGGUAGGAGCAUGCCACCAAAACAAAGAGAAUCUCGCAUCAACGAGAGAUUUUCCAUAUCUGAGGAAACAAACAUGUAGAGGAGAGUGACCUUUGACUACGAGGAAACAAACACUAGUAGGUUCAUGCUAUUCGGUACUAACAUUAACGACGAAGAAUAAAUUGUUACUUUUCCACACCUUUUCUACUUAUACGUCAUUGCAUACGUUGGAAGUCAAAAAGAACAUAAGAAAAUGUGUACUAUAAACUGAUAAAAUUGUAUACGUGGCAUAAAACUGCAAACGUAAAAAUAUGACAUAAAAUAUAAAUAUAGACAUUUUUUUGUGGUUUUACAUGGUUAUGACUUGUAUCUUGCAUUUCUGAUGCCGAUUUUUCGUCAGGGGUCAGAUUUAUGUAACUAUUUGUAUAUUCUAUAUUUCUGAUGCCGAUUUUUCGUCAGGGGUCAGGAUUUAUGUAACUAUUUGUAUAUUCUAAAUGCAAUGACGUACCAAAAUCAUGGUUCGAAAAUAACGUAUUCCGGACCCUAGGCACUGAAUAGCAUUUGGUGUGCGUAUGCGUUUGCUGCUAUAUUUUGUAUCAGUUGAUGGUGAUCAUGGGAUAAUGUGGAACUUGACCCUAAGAAACUUGAGUGGCUUACUAGGGAAUUUAUGUCCAGAUUUGGAUUGUGUGCCGUCAGUAGACUUCAUACUGCUGAAAUCUUCUCAUUGUAGCCUGUCACACUUUUAUAAUCUGGCUACAUUUUUUGUGACCAUACGUAUUAAGUUUGUGAUAAGUGCGUUGGUUAUAUACAUUCUUGAUACGGAGAGCGGAGACGAUAAGAACUUCCUUCUAGAAAUAUAUAUCAUGGGGUCGCUAGCUAGAUGGUCCGAACGGAUAUUUCCCAGAAACCACAAAUGUACACGACAUGGACAUCGAGUGAUGUUUUUUACUUUCUAGCUAUUGACAAGCUGGCAAUGCACUUGUGGAUCUCAAGUUGUCGUCUGACGUACAGACAUGAGAGACCGUGUGAUGAAGUAUCGUGACAUAUAUACAUGUAUGGUCAUCAUGCAUGAAGUAUCCGACUAGCUAUGUACUACGUGUGAAAAGUAUUAUUUGGCUGGACACAACAAGAGUCGCUGCCUCAGCUAUGUUGCUGUCUGGAGAGCCUGUUGGUUCAAGAAAUUACUGCUGAGAUUGGCUGCAGUUCGGUCAGUGACCUAGCUAUCAUCCCUUAGACUGGCUGGAGUGGAGCCAUAUUCAAGCUUACUCUAGAAGCAAAAGCGCACUUGGCUGCACCGUCUGUGUUCUGAUUGAUUGUACACUUGUUUUGCUCUGGGCCUCUGAAUCUCCUCUGGUUUCACCUUUGUGAGUCGAAGAAAUUUCCUGUGGCGAAUUUAUAUUGCAUGAGUGUUUGUCUAGUGCACCAUCCAUUCUUUGUUUGGAGAGUGAACCAUGCAUACAUAAACCUGGGAAUAGUUUGUAAUCCAAACUAAACCCAGGCCAACCAAUACAUGUAUAAGUCCAGCGAUCCAUCCAAACCAGACCAAAUUGCAAAUGCUACAAUCCAAACCAAUCCAAACUGAAUGUAUUUUCAAGCCAAAUUCAUCCAGACCUUUCUCUACAUUUAAUUUGAACCCAAAGUUUCAAACCAUGGGUCAGUCAACAACAACUGGAAAACCCCCAAACUUAACCUGUAUGUACAGAACUACGAAAGGUGUGAGGCUCCUACCAACGGCGGCUAGCUUGGUGUCAGGAGCUUCAGUAUACGUGUGCGUGCUCCGUAAGAGCAGAGGGCGGCGCCGGCACGGUGGCCCAUGGCCGGCUGCAGGACCUAUCCGGACGUGUGCAAGACCCUUUGGCUUCCAGUUUCUCAUCGGCUUCCUGACCAUCACCUUCGUCGGCCACAUCGGCAAGGUCGAGCUCACAACCAUCUUCAUGGUGACAGCAUCGUCGAAGGCCUCGUCUUUGAGUUCCUCGUGUUCUGCAUGGAGUUGACUAUUGUCACCAGAGAUCUCGGUGGGGGCGAGGUGGUACGUGCGCUCAUGUCACUCAUCUCAGGCGGCGGCUGCACCUAAACCAAGCGUUGGUCUCACAUUACGCUGAUGGUGUGUGGUUAAACGGUCGCUAGACUGGUUUUUAUCCGUGGACUAAAACGGCCUGAGACCAAUUUAUCUCUGUCCAAACCAGACCAACCCAAUCUAUUAAUUACAAAAGUCCACACCAAACUAAAUAACGAUAGAGGCUCAAUCCAUUUCAACCGAACCAAAGCAGCCCAACAGGUAAACCAAAUUGAAACUAUGGUUCGAGACCAAACUAUUCUCAGGUUUAUGCAUGCACCAUGCACCUUGCUCUGAAGACAGAACUCUGAUGUCUAAUCUGGUCGUCGUUCCCAGACAAAAUAACGUGACAUGCAUCGUGCACACGGUUUCUCCAUGCACUGCACCCACAACUGGCAAGAGCCACACACGUAAGUACUCUAUAUACCUAUAUUUGUACGUCCUGCCAUGUGAACGUCAAGCUCACGACAAUGUACGCAUGCCACAUAUAUAACCUACGUAUACUGAACCACUGCCGGCAUUACCAACGUGACCCCCAGCUGAACUAUGCAUGCAUAUGUAGUAGCUAGCUACUAAUAAAGCGGUCAAAACCCAUUUACCCCCCUCCCCAAAUGUAAUACUCCCUCCGUUCCUUUUUACUCCACGUAUAAGAUUUUUGUCGAGUCAAACUUUUGAAACUUUGACCAAAUUUGUAUAAAAAUAUAUCAACAUCUACAAUAUCAAAUAUACAUAAUAUGAAACUACAUUUCAUAAUAAAUCUAAAAAUAUUCCUUUGGCAUUGUAAAUGUUUGAUCCUUUUUUCUAUAAGUUUGGUCAAACUAGAGAUAUUUUGACUCCAGACAAAAGUUAUAUGCAGACUAAAGAAAAGGAGGAAGUAUUUGUGUACAACGACUGGUACAGCUGGCAUUGUCUUGUGUUUAAGUGGCGUUUUCUGGAAUUCUUGGGUCAAAUUGUUAUUUACUUUUGGUUUGUUACGUACAUAGAGUACUGUUCAUCCACGUAAGAUUGAUGUUGAACGGAAGAUAGACGUGAAAAAUAGAAAAAGGGACAGGAAGGAUGGAGUCUUCACGGAAACUGGUGGCUUGGCAAUGAGUCAAAGCUCUAGAUCCAGUGUAUCCCUCCGCACUGCUUCAUUACUAGCAACCUACAGAAGAUACUGGUCAGGCCACCUAAGUGAAUAUAUACCAUUUCACAACCUAGAAAUUAGUUUUUAUUCAACAUGAAAUUGUAUUUCUAGCCAUUUAUUGACCUGAAGGUAGCUUUCGUACAUAUUUAAAAAAAACACUCAGUUAUGUCCAUGUCACCCGCAAAAAAAUUAUACUGUUGAUGCAUCUUCUCUACUCUUAUAAAAAAUUAAGUUGGUGAUAAUGGUGUACCUACCAUCUUGCAAUAUACACCGUUCGAUCUAUAUCUGGCGGAUAGAAAGUAAAUUAUGGCAAUUUUACAAAAAGAUACCCGCACCUCUCUCCACAUUUACAGAUACUUUCCUCGUUCAUCCUUAUCUCUCACAACCUCAUUAUUGAGCAAUUAAAAAAGAAAGCAUCUGAAACAAUCUGGCAUGGCGGCCGCUGCCGGCGUCGUCCAUCCCCAUGCCUCCGCUCAGUCCGACCACCAAUCACCACCACGCCCCACUCCUCGUCACCUUAUCUCUUCUGUUUCUUGAGAUAUCAUUAGUUUUACAGAUGAGAUUACUCUCACAUAGGUCAAUCACAAAUAGGUGUUUUGUAAAAAAAGCAUCUUCAUGUCCCGUUCAAUGCACGAGCAUCUUGCUAGUUUACAUUAUUUCUCUUAGCAAGCAGCCUAUAUAUAAAAGGCAACCUACGUACUAAACCACUGGUGCCAUUACCAACUUUGACCCCCAGCUGAACCAUGCAUGCAAGUGGCUAGCUACUAAGAGAGUGGUUAGCUACUAAUAGAGCAUUGUUCAGCAACGUAAGAUUGCUGUUGAACAGGAGAUAGGAAUAAAACAUACAACUCAAACCAAUCACGAUCAUCAAUCAACCCAUAGGAUAAAACGAAUCUACUCAAACAUCAUAGGAUGGUCAUACAUCAUUGGGUAAUAAUAUAUAGCAUCAAGUGAUACGUCUCGAACGUAUCUAUAAUUUUUGAUUGUUCCAUGCUAUUAUAGUAUCAAUCUUGGAUGUUUAUUAUGCAAUUGUAUGUAACUAUAUAUCAUUUUUUGGGACUAACAUAUAAACCUAGUGCCCAGUGCCAACUGCAAUUUUUUUUCUUGUUUUUAGCUUUUCAGGAAAUCAAUAUUAAAAAGAGUCCAAAUGGAGAAUUUUUUUUGGAUAAUGGACCAGAGGGGACCCUAAAAGCUUCGGGAGAAGACUUGACAAGCCACGAGGGUGCGACAAGCUUGGGAGGCGCGCCCCAGGCUUGUGGGCCCCUCGUGGCUUGUCAAGUCUUNNNNNNNNNNNNNNNNNNNNNNNNNNNNNNNNNNNNNNNNNNNNNNNNNNNNNNNNNNNNNNNNNNNNNNNNNNNNNNNNNNNNNNNNNNNNNNNNNNNNNNNNNNNNNNNNNNNNNNNNNNNNNNNNNNNNNNNNNNNNNNNNNNNNNNNNNNNNNNNNNNNNNNNNNNNNNNNNNNNNNNNNNNNNNNNNNNNNNNNNNNNNNNNNNNNNNNNNNNNNNNNNNNNNNNNNNNNNNNNNNNNNNNNNNNNNNNNNNNNNNNNNNNNNNNNNNNNNNNNNNNNNNNNNNNNNNNNNNNNNNNNNNNNNNNNNNNNNNNNNNNNNNNNNNNNNNNNNNNNNNNNNNNNNNNNNNNNNNNNNNNNNNNNNNNNNNNNNNNNNNNNNNNNNNNNNNNNNNNNNNNNNNNNNNUAGGGCCCCCUCUGGUCCAUAAUGCUCCUCUUGGCCUAAUUCUAGCACUAUAAAUUCUAAAAUAUUCCCCCUACAUCAAAGAGUCACCCGAAAUACCUUUUUCGCCGCCGCAAGUUUCGGUUCUCGCGAGAUCCCAUCUAGAGGCCUUACCCGGCACUCUGCCGGAGGGGGGAUCGAUCACGGAGGGGCUCUACAUCAACCUUGCCGCUAUUCUGAUGAUGUGUGGUAGUUAACCACAGAUCUACGGGUCCGUAGCUAGUAGCUAGAUGGCUUCUUCUCUCUCUUUGAUCUUCAAUACAAUGUUCACAUUGAUGUUCUUAGAGAUCUGUUCGAUGAAAUCACUUUUUAUGGUGUGUUUGUUGAGAUCCGAUGAAUUGUGAGUUUAUGAUCAGAUUAUCUACAAGUAUUAUUUGAGUCUUCUCUAAAGACUUUUAUGCAUGAUCAUUAUAGCUUUAUAUUUCUCUCCGAUCUAUUGAUUUGAUUUCGUCAACUAGAUUGAUUUUUCUUGCAAUGGGAGAGGUGCUUUGCAAUGGGUUCGAUCUUGCGAUGCUCAAUCCCAAUCCCCAUCCCCAAAUGUAACAUGUGUGUACAACAACUAGUACAGCUGGCAUUGUCUCGUGCGUAAGUGGCGCUUUCUGGAAUUCUUGGGUCAUAUUGUUAUUAUUUACUUUUGGUUUGUUACAUACAAGAGCAAUGUUCAGCAACGUAAGAUUGAUGUUGAACGGAAGAUAUACGGAAAAUAUUGGAAAAGGGACAGAAAGGGUGGACUCCUCGUGGAGACUCAUGACUCCACAAUGAGUCAAUGGCUCAAUGCGCUUGAUCCAGUGGAUCCCUCAUCACUGUUUCAUUACCAACCUACGGAAGGCUCUUUUUUCAGAAGAGAGGCGUCACACGUACAGAAGGGAUUGAUCAGCUCACUUAAGUGAAUAUACCAUUUUGCAACCUAAAAAACAAGUUUUUCGUCGACGCAGAUUUUUAUUUCUAGCUAUUUAUCGGUCUGCAUGUAACUUUCUUACAGAUUUAGAAAAACACUCAGUUAAGUUUAGACUGUCCAUGUCACUCACAAAAAAAUUAUACUGUCGAUGCAUCUUUUGUGGUCUUUCUUGUAGAAAGCAGCCUAUAGAUAGAAGACAUCCACGUGGGUAGUAUUUCAGCUCUCUCGGCAUUAUGAAAUGGUGGUACAAAUAUAGCAUCAAGUUACACGACAAAAAGUUCCCAUCGAUAUCUCAUAAGAGCUUUCCACCAAAAGAAAGAGAAUCUCGUAUCAAUUAGAGAUUUUCCAUAUCCGAGGAAAUAAACAUAUAGAGGAGAGUGACCUUUUACUAUGAGGAAGCAGACAGCAGUAUGUUCAUGCUAUUCGGUACUAACAUUAACGGCGAGGAAUUAAUUGUUACUUUUCCACACCCUUUCUACUUAUACGUCAUUGCAUACGUUGGAAGUCAAAAAGAACAAAAGAAUAUGUAUUACUAUACACUAAUAAAAUUGUAUACGCAUCCUAAAAUCAGAAACGUAAAAAGACAACACAUAAAAUGUAAAUAAUGACAAUUUUUUGGUAUGGUUUACAUGGUUAUGACCAAGGUUUUGGGUACUGCCAAAAAAUCCGGAUACCGGGCGGUAUCCGCGUUUCUCGCCGCUCCACAAGAAAUACCCAUCCCAAGCAAAAAAGAAAAAAAAAAUCAUUUUUUAAAAUUUAAACACUCCAAGUAUAAUAAAACACUCUACCUCGCAGUUAGAUCAACAUUCUUAGUUGUGGUAUCGUGGUAACCUACUAUUUUGUGCCUCCAGAGGUAGCUGGUUGGAGUUGCCUUCUUGCACUUUUUUUGUUUAUUUUUCAGAAUUGGUAAGUAAGAAAAGUAAAAAUAAUAAUGACCCAAGAGUCGUACUCGCAACCUCAAACCGCUUAGCACGCACUCCCUCCGUUCCAAAAUAGAUGACUCAAUUUUGUACUAACUUUACACUAGUAGAAAACAGGGCAUUUGUCCCGGUUCGUAAGGGCCUUUUGUCCCGGUUUAAGAACUGGGACAAAAAGGUCGGUACUAAUGCCCUCCCCUUUAGUCCCUGUUCUUACACGAACCGGGACAGAUGGGCCUCCACGUGGCUACUGCGGGCAGCCCAGGCAAGGGGGCCUUUGGUCCCAGUUGGUGACAUGAACCGGGACCAAAAGGCUUCCACGCGUCAGCAGCUGGCUGGAGCUGAGGUUUUUCUUUAAAAAAAAGUGGCUAGUUUAGGGGUUUGGGGGGUUAAUUUAGGUUGUUAUUAGCUAGCUAAUAGAGAGAAGUUUCUUCUCUUAUAUCUUCGUCCUUGGUUUACCAACGCUACUGCUAUAUUCAUUUCACCCGCUGAUAUAUAAUAACUCAUGCUCGCAUCAUACAUCAUCAUAUAUAAUAACAAGUCCUACUAAUCAUGCAUCAUCAUACAACUUCUACUCAUUAUUAAUAACAAGUCAUACGAUCAUCAUCCUCAUAGUCAUUGAACCCAACCCUACAUAAUUGUUCUUAGCACAUGAUCAUCAGUAUCAGGUAGGACCUAAACACCCUUAAGGUAAAAUAGCAUAAAACAAUAUAGACCCUGACUCUCCAUAAUGAAGAAUGGAGAUCAUCAUGUCUUCAAUUCUUACGCUUCACUUCCUUUUGCUUCUAAGAAGCUCCUUACGAUUGUCCAUACAUUUUUUCCACUCUUUGAUUGUCAUGUCUCCACUUCUUUUAGAAAUCCGGUAUGGACAGUUGAGAUUCGUAGGACGACCUGGUUGUAUGUUCAAAACAUCAAGGCGACCGUGCGUAUACAUCAGAUGAGACACACAAUCAUUCGGGAUUAUCUGUUGAAAAACAUAGUAAUAACUUCGUAGUUAGCAAUGAUGUACUAGUUUUAGAAGUAUGCAAAAUGAUGCACGGAUGUCGUAAUAGUAAAAAAUCUUACCAGGGUAUCUCCAUGGUAGUUACCGUAGUUCAACACGUGCACUAGUGGCACGUAUUGACCAUAAUGUUGAGGAGUUCGAUUGUGGAUAUUGUAAUUCUCAAGAUUCGUACAAAUGCGAUCAGAUGAUUUUUCUCCUUAUAAGUUAAUUCGGAGACAUCGGUGUAGUGGGUUUUGUCUACCAUCUUCCGCACAUUCUUUGAAGAAUGAAAAUAAGCUGUCAAUGGAAAUAAGCUGUCAACUAUUUUGAAAUAAACAAUAUAAAUUACUUAAUAACUAUGUUUGAGAAGCUCACAUGGUGAAGAAUUGGAAGUGUAUCCACAAGGACCCAAAUGUCCAUAUUGUCUUGCUCGAUGUAGGAUCACCAAGAUCCAUGGUGACAAGCAUACCCUCAUCAAAACCAUACAUCUUGCAAAGUGUUUCCCAAUUUUUGCAACCAAAAUGGGUUACACUCUCAGCAUUGUACAACUUUACUUCAAAAUCCACACCAUGAUGGGUCCUUAGGUGAAUUUUUUUGGUUUCCAUACUUUCAUGGUCGUCAAAACCCAUCCUAUCCAAGACAUAGCGUCUUGCAUAGCAUGGGAUAAGCUAGUCGAAUUGGAAAAGAUGAAAAAUACAUGUUAAAAUAGUUGAAGUCGUGCUUAAUUACGAAAAAACUAUUGUCGUUGUUGCGUAUCGUAUGAACAUCGAAGGCCUCCUCGAGCCUAAUGCUGAAGCGCCGAUCUUCGUCCAGCUCAAGGAACCUGUCGCACAUACCUCGGUCGUCGUGGCACCAGUCGCACUCCCCCGGGCGGUUUUCGUCGUCUGAGUACGACAUUUCCGGCCUAUGUUCAUAAUUCAAAUAUUCAACUUGUACAAUUAAAUAUAUGUAUUAAAAAACCUAAAUUAGAUCAUUAUUAUUAAUCACGGGUUGACUAUCAGUGAUGGUAGCUCCUCCUUUCAUUCCCGAGUGCAUUAUUACACCAAGUUGUCUAGCACACGGGAAUGAAGGAGAAGCUACCCCCACGACGGCGUGGAUGAUGGAGGGGGCUCCUAAAUUUCUGCAUAGAGUGCUCCUCAAUUUUAGCAUUCAAAGUAGGAGUACUUUUCCAAUAUGAGCAUUCAAUAAGCAAAAUCAAAUCGUAAAAUAAAGUAGUAUUCAAAUUAGCAUGCAUUCAAUUAUAACCAAAAGUACAUCAUCUCUUGUGUCCGUACAUCGUCGAAUAUUAUCACUAAUACUCCUCGAAUACUAUCAUACAUAUAGCAUCGCUAAUACAACUAGAACCGUAGCGCCCGACGGGUAUCGUCGCGGGCGGUGGACACCCAAAGAUAAGGAACCAUCAUAGGAUCAUAGCUCCAGUGAGAUCCCUGAAGAACCUGCCAGGUAUUGUCGAACCUGCCCUCCAACGCAACCAUGUAGCGACGGACGUGCUCGUCCUCCUCGCUGACAUGGUGACGUACCACCUCCGCGGUGUCCGGAAGCCUCGGCACCGUCACUGGCCCACGCGACCGCCACCAAACAAGGAUCGGGUCAACAACGGGCUGGCUCCUCACCAACCUACGUCCCCCGGAAGGUAGCACCUCCGAAUACCAGCCCGGCGGAGCCCAGUCCCGGACAUGGCCCUGAUCAAGCAGGCCUCCACCGCCGAGUCGACGACGAGGAUGCGGGAUAGGCAUUGUCGACGUCGAUGCGAGAACUACUUCUAUAUAUAGUAAAACAAAGUAGUUUUAUUAAUUAAAUCAACUAGUUCAACUACUAAGCACUUACUAUAAAUAAUAAAAGUAGUACUUACUAAAAAUAAACUACUUCUAUAUAUAGUAAAAUAAAGUAGUUUAUUAAAUCAACUAGCUAGUUCAACUAUAUAUUAAGCACUUACUAUAAAUAAAAUAAAGUAGUACUUACUAAAAAUAAACUAGUUUAACUAUAGUUCUAUUAUUUUUCUAACUAAUUAUAUUAAACACUUUCUCUUCUUAUUUUCCUUUUUCAUCUAUUCUAUAUAUGAAGAUAUUCAUAAAUGACUUUGAUCAUGCACAAUUUUCCUAUACAUACACAAUAUGAACAUAUACAUAAAUUGACAAAGAAAAUUCUAUGAACAAAAUAAUCAUUGAAAAUCAAUGAACAAAAUUACAACAGAAAAAAAUCAUAAAAAUUCUAUGAACAGAAAAAAAUCAUAAAAAAUUGACAUAUUCAAUCUUUGCAUAUAUAUGAACAUACAAACAUGCAUAUUCAACAAUAAUAUCACCCAAAAAAUCUAUUAACAGAAAAAAAAUCUAACACAAUAUGAACAAAUUACUUAAUAUGAAUAACAAUCUAACAGAAAAAUCUAUGAACUACACAUCUAAAUUACUACACAUCUAACAAAAAACUUAUGAACUACAAAAAAUCUAACAAAAUCUAACUCAAUUAACUACACAUCUAAAUUAUACUACACAUCUAAAUUAACUACUACAUCAAAUUAAAUUAGCAAAAAGUUUGCUCACGGGAUGGCGACGGCCGGCGUGAGGGGCGCGGCAAAGGCGACGGGCAGGGGACGGCGACGGCGACGGCGACAGUGCGUGAGGCGCAGCGCGGCGACGGUUGACGGUGAGGGGCGGCGGCGGCGGGGCGGUGACGGGUAGGGNNNNNNNNNNNNNNNNNNNNNNNNNNNNNNNNNNNNNNNNNNNNNNNNNNNNNNNNNNNNNNNNNNNNNNNNNNNNNNNNNNNNNNNNNNNNNNNNNNNNNNNNNNNNNNNNNNNNNNNNNNNNNNNNNNNNNNNNNNNNNNNNNNNNNNNNNNNNNNNNNNNNNNNNNNNNNNNNNNNNNNGGCGGCGCGGGACGGCGCGGUACGGCGCGGGGCGACGACGGCGACGGCGAGGCGGAGACGGGUAGCCUGGCGGCGUCGGGGCGGGGAAGAACGAAACUGAACGAAAUUUUGAUGAGUGCCAGUUAUAUAGACGACGCAUUGGUCCCGGUUCGUGAGACAAACCGGGACUAAUGCGACCUUUAGUCCCGGUUGGUGCCACCAACCGGGACCGAAGGCCUCUUUUCAGCAGCCCAAAGGGCGGGAAGCAGAUGCCUUUGGUCCCGGUUGGUGGCACCAACUGGGACUAAAGGUGGGGCAUUCACACCGGUUUGUGGCACCAACCGGGACCAAUGCAACCCUUUAGUCCAGGUUUGUGCCACCAACCGGGACUAAAGGCCUUGUGUUGCCCGCGUCGCGGCACGAAAGUUUAGUCCCACCUUGCUAGCUGAGGGAGCUCGAGAGUGUUUUAUAAGCCCCAGUCCCACUGCCCUCUCGAGCUCCUCUCAAAUGCAGGCUUAUGGGCCUAAACGCACUAUAUGUGCCUGUCGGCCUAUUGGGCCUACUGCGGGCCUGAAUCUCGGCCCAUUGUUGGGUUUCUAGUCGUAUUCACGCCGUGGAGGCCCUUUAGGUGGCACUUUUUUUUGUUUUAUUUUUUCCUUUGAAUUAUUUAUUUUCUUUUGAUUUUUGCUUUAUUAUAUAUUCUUUUUUCUUUUAGCUCAGAAUAAUUAUAAUCUUUCUGUUACUCCAUUAGUUUCCAAAUUUGAAUAAUUAUAAUCUUUAUGCAACUAAAAAUAUAUUUGGAGUGAUUCUUUUUCCUGCUAUUUAAUAUUACUGCGUUUAUGACAAUUCUUUUGCUAUUUUGAAAAACAGAUUUUGUUAUUUUAGUUUCUAUCAAAAAAAUCUUUAUGACAAUUCUUUUUGCUACUAAAGUUUCUAACAAAAAAUUCUUUAUGAUAAUUAUUUCUGCUUUUCAUGUUUUGAACAGAAUAUACUUUGAUAAUUUUAGUUGCAUAAAUUUUAUAUAAUUUUAGAUUAAAAAAUACUGGAGGUUUAUAAAAGCUUUUUAGUUGAUUCCUUUUGCUAUUAGAGUUUUAUAAAAGCAUUUACUGGUUUUUUUUGAGCUAAGCAUUUCAAAUGAACUCUGAAAAGAUUGAAAGUUGGCAUGGUAUCAUCAUUUCACCCACAUAGCAUGUGCUAAAAAGUUGAGAGGGUUAUGGGGAAAAUUGGAUACACUUCGUGUACAAAAUGGACAAUCUCUUUCGAAGUAUCAGGGUUUCAUACGGAAACUCAUCUGUUACACAGAGAUUUCAUUUUCUUAAACUUAUUUGAACUCCUGACUUUUUGUGUGUUCAAAAUGCACCAUUCAAAGCCACAUCAUCAAUUUUCAACCCUUUGUGACUUCAUUUGUUAUUUUUCAUGCAUUUACUGAUUAUUUUGAGCUAUAAGACCCUGAAAUUUAAAAGCAUUUCAAAUGAACUCUGAAAAGGUUGGAAGUUGGCAUGGUAUCAUUAUUUCAUCCACAUAGCAUGUGCAAGAAAGUUGAGAGGGUUACGGCAAAAACUGGAUGCACUUCAUGCACAAAACGGACAAUCUCUUUCGAAGUAUCAGGAUUUCAUACGGAAACUUGUCUGUUACAACAGGCAUUUCAAAUGAAUUACGAAAAGGUUGAAAGUUGGCAUGGUAUCAUCGAGAAAGUCUUCACUUUUUCUUCGCUUGUGUGCUUACCUUAUUGCGCCGUAACCAUGGAUAAUCUUCAUCAUUUAUUAGGAUGCUUGGGUCAGCCUUGACUUUGAAGGGAGGAAUUUCAUGAAACUUAUCAUAAUCUUCGGACAUGUCUGUCUUGCCCUCCACUCCCACAAUGUCCCUUUUUCCUGAAAGAACUAUGUGGCGCUUUGGCUCAUCGUAUGAUGUAUUCGCUUCCUUAUAUUUUCUUUUUCUCCGUUUGGUAGACAUGUCCUUCACAUAGAUAACCUGUGCCACAUCAUUGGCUAGGACGAAAGGUUCGUCAGUGUACCCAAGAUUGUUCAGAUCCACUAUUGUCAUUCCGUACUAUGGGUCUACCUGUACCCCGCCUCCUGACAGAUUGACCCAGUUGCAUUUAAACAAAGUGACCUUAAAAUCCACUAUGUAACCAUAAUAUGUGUCCUUUCCCCUCUCGGUGGCUGCAUCAAAGCGGACACCGCUGUUUUGGUUGGUGCUCUUUUGAUCUUGGGCGAUCUUGUAAAAUGUAUUCCCAUUUAUCUCGUAUCCUUUCCAAAUCAUUACAGUCGAAGAUGGUCCCCUGGACAACGAGUACAACUCCUCACAAACAGUGUUUUCACCUUUGAGACGUGUUUCCAACCAACUGCUGAAAGUCCUGAUGUGUUCACAUGUAAUCCAGUCGUCGCACUGCUCUGGGUGUUUGGAGCGCAGACUGUUCUUUUGUUCAUCGACAUAAGGGGUCACCAAGGUAGAGUUCUGUAGAACUGUGUAGUGUGCUUGAGACCAAGAAUAUCCGUCCCUGCAUAUUAUUGUCUCGCCUCCAAGCAUGCCUUUUCCAGUCAGUCUCCCCUCAUACCGCGAUUUACGGAGACCUAUCUUCUUAAGGCCAGGACUGAAGUCAACACAAAACCCAAUGACAUCCUCUGUUUGAUGGCCCAUGGAGAUGCUUCCUUCUGGCCUAGCACGGUUACGGACAUAUUUCUUUAGGACUCCCAUGAACCUCUCAAAGGGGUACAUAUUGUGUAGAAAUACGGGGCCCAGAAUGACAAUCUUGUCAACUAGAUGAACUAGGACGUGCGUCAUGAUAUUGAAGAAGGAUGGUGGGAACACCAGCUUGAAACUGACAAGACAUUGCACCACAUCACUCCUUAGCCUUGGUAUGAUUUCUAGAUCGAUCACCUUCUGAGAGAUUGCAUUGAGGAAUACGCAUAGCUUCACAAUGGCUAAUCGGACGUUUUCCGAUAGAAGCCCCCUCAAUGCAACCGGAAGCAGUUGCGUCAUAAUCAUGUGGCAGUCAUGAGACUUUAAGUUCUGAAACUAUUUCUCUGCCAUAUUUAUUAUUCCCUUUAUAUUUGACGAGAAGCCAGUCGGGACCUUCACACUAAGCAGGCAUUCAAAGAAGAUUUCCUUCUCUUCUUUGGUAAGAGCAUAGCUGGCAGGACCUUCAUACUGCUUUGGAGGCAUGCCGUCUUUUUUGUGCAAACGUUGCAGGUCCUCCUGUGCCCCAACUGUAUCUUUUGUCUUCCCAUACACGCCCAAGAAGCCUAGCAGGUUCACGCAGAGGUUCUUCGUCACAUGCAUCACGUCGAUCAAAGAGCGGACCUGUAGGUCUUUCCAGUAGGGUAGGUCCCAAAAUAUAGAUUUCUUCUUCCACAUGGGUGCGUGUCCCUCAGCGUCACUCGGAACAGCUAGUCCGUUGGGACCCUUUCCAAAGAUUAUGUGUAAAUCAUUUACCAUAGCAAGUACGUAAUCAUCGGUACGCAUGGUGGGCUUCUUCUGGUGAUCUGCCUCACCUUUCAAAUGCUUGCCUUUCUUUCGACAUUGAUGGUUGGACGGAAGAAAUCGACGAUGGCCCAGGUACACAUUCUUCCUGCAGCUUCCCAGGUAUAUACUUUCGAUGUCAGCUAAACAGUGCGUGAAUGCGUGGUAUCCCUUGUUUGUCUGUCCUGAAAGGUUACUGAGAGCGGGCCAAUCGUUGAUGGUUACAAACAGCAACGCAUGCAGGUUAAAUUCCUCCUGUCUGUGCUCAUCCCACACACGUACACCGUUUCCAUUCCACAGCUGUAAAAGUUCUUCAACUAAUGGCCUUAGGUACACAUCAAUGUCGUUGCCGGGUUGCUUAGGGCCUUGGAUGAGAACUGGCAUCAUAAUGAACUUCCGCUUCAUGCACAUCCAAGGAGGAAGGUUAUACAUACAUAGAGUCACGGGCCAGGUGCUGUGAUUGCUGCUCUGCUCCCCGAAAGGAUUAAUGUCAUCCGCGCUUAAACCAAACCACACGUUCCUUGGGUCAUGUGCAAACUCAGCCCAGUACUCUCUCUUGUUUUUUCUCCACUGCGACCCGUAAGCGGGUGCUCUCAACUUCCCGUCUUUCUUACGGUCCUCACUGUGCCAUCGCAUCAACUUGGCAUGCUCUUUGUUUCUGAACAGUCAUUUCAACGGUGGUAUUAUAGGAGCAUACCAUCACCUUCGCAGGAACUCUCUUCUUGCGGGGCUCACCGUCAACAUCACCAGGGUCAUCUCGUCUGAUCUUAUACCGCAAUGCACCGCAUACCGGGCAUGCGUUCAAAUCCUCGUACGCACCGCGGUAGAGGAUGCAGUCAUUAGGGCAUGCAUGUAUCUUCUGCACCUCCAAUCCUAGAGGGCAUACGACCUUCUUUGCUGCAUACGUACUGUCGGGCAAUUCAUUAUUCUUUGGAAGCUUCUUCUUUAAUAUUUUUCAGUAGCUUCUCAAAUCCUUUGUCUGGCACAACAUUCUCUGCCUUCCACUGCAGCAAUUCCAGUACGAUACCCAGCUUUGUGUUGCCAUCUUCGCAAUUGGGUACAAGCCUUUUUUGUGAUCCUCUAACAUGCGAUCGAACUUCAGCUUCUCCUUUUGACUUUCGCAUUGCGUCCUUGCAUCGACAAUGACCCGACGGAGAUCAUCAUCGGACACAUCGUCUGGUUCCUCUUGAUCUUCAGCAGCUUCCCCCGUUGCAGCAUCAUCGGGCACAUCGUCUGGUUCCUCUUGAUCUUCNNNNNNNNNNNNNNNNNNNNNNNNNNNNNNNNNNNNNNNNNNNNNNNNNNNNNNNNNNNNNNNNNNNNNNNNNNNNNNNNNNNNNNNNNNNNNNNNNNNNNNNNNNNNNNNNNNNNNNNNNNNNNNNNNNNNNNNNNNNNNNNNNNNNNNNNNNNNNNNNNNNNNNNNNNNNNGGGGGCACAUAGUUGUCAUCGUCCUCUUCUUCUUCGCCAUCUUCCAUCAUAACCCCUAUUUCUCCGUGCCUCGUCCAAACAUUAUAUUGUGGCAUGAAACCCUUGUAAAGCAGGUGGGUGUGAAGGAUUUUCCGGUCAGAGUAAGACUUCGUAUUCCCACAUUUAUUGCAUGGACAACACAUAAAACCAUUCUGCUUGUUUGCCUCAUGUCGGAGUAAUGGGCCAUGGGUAGGCUCACCCGAGUCCCUGGAUUCAUCAAAACUUUGGGCCAGCUCCGCCUAGCUGGGCCCCAAGAUGAAGCUCCGCCCUCUGGGGCCGGCUGGCUCAGCGGCCGGUUGCGAGAGGGCAGCUGUCCCAAGACUGCAGCACUCCGGGUGGCCGGCUCCUGGCGGCCGCCCUCCAAAGUGGGCGGCAACGGGAAAGCGGCCACCACACGACUACGGGGCGGCCGAGCUCCCAUCAAGAGUACAAGACGAAGCAUGGCUACAGUGAGGAACGACGCCUCCCACGCUCGAGACGGGCGUGGCUACAGUGCUCCGUACAGACGGAGAUCUCCGCACGACGGAGCACUAUGCUGUAUCUACCCUGACGUAGCUCCGGGCAGGCGAAGCCCUGUUCACCACGACGGCCUGUCGGUACGGCAGGCCAGAGGUGGGCCCUAUCGGCAGUGACCCCAAGGAAGACGGCGGAAGCUCAACCAGGCGGAUUAGAGAGGGGCCGGCCUCCAGCAGGCGACCGUCCCUUGUCCCGAGACGAGCACGCCAUUAAGUUGAUAAGACCAUGUGUGGCUACAGUGUCCUCCCACCAGGCGGCGGGACUAUAGCCACGCUAGGAUGACCAAGGCCCCGUCGCCAACGACACGGCUACAGUGAGCAGCCGCCAACCAGUCGGCGGGGCCCACUAGGCGGCGGGCCCCAGCGGUCGGCGGAGAAGCCGAAGGCUGGAGACAUUGACAGCCGGGCCCAGCGGCCGGCCAGAUUACCAUUUUACCCCUGGGGGUAGGCCUAUAUAAACCCCCAGGCCACCCAUGCAAAGGGUUCCCACACCAUUAGAACUAGCCACCCCCUAGAGCAGGAAGAGAGCUAGCCUUGCCUCCUUCUGCCUCUAGCAUACAGCUCGAGGAUCACCAUUGUAUCACUUGUGUCUUAGUGAUCAUGCGGAGACCCCGUAGAGCAGGACUAGGGGUGUUAUCUCCUAGGAGAGCCCCAAACCUGGGUAAAGUACGCCGACGUUCGUGUCUACGCCUUAUCCCGCUUCCAGUCACCGGCGACGUUCUACUCGCUCCCACCAUGAUAAGCCAUCCAUUGGCAUAUGUCACACCCAACUCCCGACAUUUGGUGCCCACCGUGGGGCAAGGUGCACCGUCUCCCGGAGAUCUGCUCUGGACGGGAACCCUGUUCCUUCCUGGCGAGUGAAGCCAGCCCAGCAUGCCCGACGGCGUCAGCCUCGACGCGCUGCAUGGCACGGAGAUCGCCUGCGCAGCGAGUUGCCUCGCUGACCUCGUCGGCGAGAUCGACCUCUCCGACGAGCCAGCCUCUGACGCGGGCACAAGCUGCCCUGAGAGCCGCCUCGUCAGCCUCCUUGAUCAGCUCCAUGUCACCAGCGAGACUGCUGUGGACCUGGAGUCCGUUGGCUCGACCGAUUCGAUGAUCAUCGACUCCGACACGGCGUCGCUCGACGCGUUUCCCACCAACGUGGUGGUCUACGAUGAGCCGCCGCCUUGCGAGCACAGCGGCGGGAGCACUGUCACGGAGGUACUCGUCAUCAACAGUGAGGAGCACUCGGACGGGCCUGCUCAAGAUACCCUCGAGGCCACCAUGCGCGACCUCACGGCGCCCAUUCCCGAGGGCGCGGAUGCUGAGGUGCUGGAGGCACGCCGCCUCCAGCUUAUCGAGAGUGCUGGCCGCCUGGCCAGCAUGCGCCGACUGUCGGAUGCCUAUCGGCGCGAGAUGGACCGGGCCGUAGGCGGCACGCCGGCUCCUGAGGGGCCUAGCCACCUCGGCACAGUUCGGCAGCGUGGCGCGACCAUUGCCAGCAUGUUCGGGGCUGAGCACCCCGUCUACGCCACGCCUGCAGAGAACAUCCGAGCCGCCUAGGCGGUAACGGAUGAGCUGAACAAGUACAACGGCGACGAGCUCCGCCACAUGAUGGAGCGAGUCCAGCAGCUCCUGGACGCGGCCGCCGCGCAGCACGAGGCCGCCUACCGCGCUGAAGUCCUAGCCGGACGAAACAACCAACCUCCCCCAUGCCGAGAUCAUGGGGCGACCUCCCGGACGCCGACUGGUGGCGCCCGCGGAGGAAUGGGCAACGAGUCGGCUGCUAGCCGCAGUCGGACGCGCCUCUCCAUCAAGCGGGACGAGGACGGCCGCCCUCGUGCAGUAGAGCGGCAAGGCAACCUGCCACCUCCCCCGCCUCGUGGAGCGAGGUACCCCACUCCGCCUCCUGUCACGCAUCCGACACUCGGCGACCACCUUGGCCGCCGAGAGGGAGUCGGAGAGAAUGAUGCUCGCCAUCAAAUCAAUCGUCUCAACCGAUCCCUGGCGCUUGAAGAAGAAGAUGCGUUGGGCCCGCCCUGCUUCAGCCCCCGAAUCCGUGAUGAGCCCUUCCCCAAAGGGUUCACCCUCCCACGAGACACGCCCAAAUACACCGGCUCCAUGAAGCCGGAGGACUGGCUAGUCGACUACUCCACAGCCGUCAGCAUAGCGAACGGCAACAAGCGCGUUGCCGUGAAGUACGUCCCGCUCAUGCUUCAAGGCACUGCUCGGACGUGGCUCAACAGCCUGAAGCACCGCAGCAUCAACAGCUGGGUUGAUUUCACUGAGGUCUUCAUCCGCAACUUCACCAGCACCUACAAGCGGGCUCCCAAGCCCCGACAGCUCUCCUUGUGCGUCCAAGGGCCCUUGGAGUCAACUCGCGACUACCUCACGCGCUGGACCGAGUUGCGCAAUUCCUGCGAGGGUGUGCACGAGGUGCAGGCGAUCGAGUACUUCACCGCCGGGUGCCGAGAGGGCACCCUCCUCAAGCACCGCCUCCUCUGCGACGAGCCCGAGACCCUCGAUGAGCUACUGGUCAUCGCCGACAAGCACGCCACGGCCGACUCCUCCAUGAAGGCGGAAAUCCUGGUAGACGCGUCCGGCAAGGUGGCGCCUCAGGCACCUCGGACUCCGGCUGGUGACACCAGUCGGCGACAGCAACCAGGUGAUAACAAGCGGAAGGCCACCCAGCCGGCUUCCACCAGCCGGCAGGUGGCAACGGUCGAGGAUCAGCAGCCAGAAGGGCAACCAGCCCCCAAGCGGCAGAAGGGCGGCAAGUCCAAUUGGUUGCCUGCUUUCUCUUACCAGCAAACCUUAGAUGCACCCUGCAAAUUCCAUAGCGGCGCAAAUCCCUCCAACCACACCACUCGGAAGUGUCACUGGCUCACCAGAAUCACCAAAGGAGAUGGACUCCUGCCUCCUUCGCCUGCCGGACUGCCGCCUCCUCAGCCCCAGCAGCCGGCGGCCCGGCCAGUCGGCGCCCUACAAGACGAGUACCCGGAGGAACACGGAGCCUAUGUUGUGUUUACCAGCAUGGCCGACGGCAGACGCAGCAGGCGGCAACAACAACAAGAAGUGCAAGCAGUGGCCUCCAACACUCCAGAGUUCAUGCAUUGGUCCAAGAAGCCUAUUAGUUGGAGCAAGGCCGACCACCCAAAAGUGAUGCCUUCCCCUGGUUCAUACGCCCUGGUCCUAGAAGCAAGCUUUGCAACGGAGAGGCGAGCAGCCCGCUUCUCCAGAGUCUUGAUAGAUGGCGGCAGCAGCAUCAAUAUCCUGUACCGUGACACAAUGGAGAAGUUGGGAAUCAAGCAGAAGCAGCUCGUCCCCAGUUGGACUGUAUUCCAUGGCAUAGUCCCUGGCCUUUCCUGCUCACCAAUCGGCAAGACCCAGAUUGAUGUCCUCUUCGGAGACAAGAAUUACUUCCGCCGAGAGCCAGUUUGGUUUGAAGUGGUGGACCUUCAGAGCCCCUACCAUGCACUGCUUGGCCGGCUUGCUCUCGCCAAGUUCAUGGCGGUCCCCCACUAUGCCUACCUCAAGAUGAAGAUGCCAAGUACCAAGGGGAUCCUGACAGUGGUCGAAGACUACAAGAAGUCGAUCACUUGCACCGCAGAUAGCAGCCGGCUGGCCGAGUCCCUUGUGAUUGCCGCUGAGAAGCGGCUCCUUGACCGGGUAGUGGCGUUGGCAGGCAAGAAGCCGGAAAUGUCACCCACCCCCCAAGAUUCGGAGGUUCAGGGCUCGUUCAAGCCAGCCAAGGAAACAAAGAGAAUACCCUUGGACCCGAAGCAUCCGGAGAGGCACGCUGUCAUAGGCACAGGCCUUGACAGCAAAUAGGAAAGCGAGCUCGUCGAUUUCCUCCGUGAGAAUCGGGACAUCUUCUCAUGGUCUCCUAAGGACAUGCCGGGUGUUCCGACGGAUUUCGCCGAGCACAAGCUACAUGUCCGACCUGACGCCAAGCCGGUCAGGCAGCCCUGGCGCCACCUGUCAGAAGAGAAGAGAAGAGUUGUCAGAGAAGAGAUAGCCCGGCUCCUAGCAGCCAGAUUCAUCAUGGAAGUAUUCUUUCCAGAAUGGCUGGCCGACCCAGUCCUAGUGUUGAAGAAAAACAAGCAGUGGCGCAUGUGCAUUGACUACACCAGCCUCAACAAAGCCUGCCCCAAAGAAUCCUUUGCUAAGGAUUGAUCAGGUGAUCGACUCCACAACCAGAUGCGAGCUGUUGAGUUUCUUGGAUGCAUACUCAGGUUAUCACCAAAUAAAGCUGAACCCGGCCGACAGGCUGAAGACUGCCUUCAUCACGCCAUUUGGAGUCUUCUGCUACCUGACCAUGAUGUUCGGCUUGAGAAAUGCCAGCGCCACGUUUCAGCGUUGCAUGCAGAAGUGCCUCCUCAAGCAACUCGGCAGAAAUUCAUAUGUAUAUGUGGAUGAUGUGGUGGUGAAGACGGAGAAGCAUGGCACGCUGCUGGAGGACCUCAAGGAGACCUUUGAGAAUUUGCGCCGAUUCCAGAUCAAGCUCAACCCGGAGAAAUGUGUCUUUGGAGUACCAGCCGGCCAGCUUCUUGGUUUCCUGGUCUCAGAGCGCGGCAUAGAGUGCAAUCCUAUCAAGAUCGAGGCAAUUGAGAUGAUGAAAGUGCUCACUCGACUGCUAGACGUGCAGAAAUUCACCGGAUGCCUGGCGUCAGUCAGCCGUUUCAUCAGUCGGCUGGGCGAGAAGGCUCUUCCCCUGUACCAACUCAUGAAGAAGACCACUUUUUUUGAGUGGAACGACAAGGCGGACGAGGCAUUCCUCCAACUCAAGAAGACAUUGGCAACCCUGCCUCUCCUGGCGGUUUCGACUGAGAAGGAGCCCAUGCUCCUCUACAUUGCGGCCACCAGUCGGGUUGUCAGCAUAGUCAUGGUCGUAGAGCGCAAGGAGAAGGACAAAGCAUUGCCGGUCCAGAGACCGUUGUAUUACUUGAGUGAAGUAUUGUCCGCCUCCAAGCAAAACUACCCUCACUACCAGAAGAUGUGUUACGGCAUGCAUUUUGCCGCCAAGAAGCUGAAGCAUUACUUUCAAGAGCACCCAAUAACUGUCGUCUGCACCCUCCCGCUUGCUGAGAUCAUCGGAAGCCAGGAUUCUUCUGGCCGAGUGGCCAAGUGGGCUAUUGAUCUGGACCCUUAUACCAUCUACUACCAGCCUCGCACCACCAUCAAAUCACAAGUGUUGGCCGACUUCCUCGUCGAUUGGGCCGAGACGCAAUAUUUGCCACCUGCACCAGACUCCACUCAUUGGCGGAUGCAUUUUGAUGGUUCAAAAAUGCGCACUGGUCUGGGAGCCGGCGUCGUCCUCACCUCUCCCAAGGGUGACAAGCUCAAAUACGUGUUGCAAAUCAACUUCGCCGCCUCCAACAACGUAGCAGAAUAUGAGGCACUCAUACACGGGCUCCGGCUUGCCAAGGAACUCGGCAUUCGCCGGAUCCUGUGCUAUGGUGACUCCGACUUGGUGGUCCAGCAGUCGUCAGGCAACUGGGACGCCAAGGAUGCAAACAUGGCAAGCUACCGCUUCCUCGUGCAGCAACUCAGCGGAUACUUUGAUGGGUGCGAGUUCCUUCACGUGCCAAGGAAUGACAACGAGCAAGCAGAUGCCUUGGCACGGAUUGGCUCCACUCGACAAGCAAUACCAGCCGGCAUUGCCCUACGCCGCCUUCUGAAGCCGUCUGUCAAGCCGUCUCUUGAUUCAGACUCCAUCUUUGUGCCGCCCCCCUCCCCCCCCUCCCGAAGCAGUCGAAUCCGACUUGGUGACCCCAGAGGCCAGUCGGGGGUUUCGACAGGCGGCCCGGUGACUGCUACAGCCGCGCUUGGACCUGGGACUUCGGAACCCGGCCCGGGGACUUCACCAGUCGGCCCGGGGACUUCUUCAGCACAGCAGGCGGAAGCAGCUGCCAACCCGCCGCCUCCCAGCCCAACCGCCCUCGUACAAGUUGAAGUGGUAGCAGUCGAAGAAAUUGCAGCGCCCUCAUGGGCUCAGCCGAUCCUCAAGUUCUUGGUAAAUAAAGAGCUGCCAACCGAUGAAAUCUUAGCCUGACAAGUGCAGAGGCGAGCUGCAGCUUACACCAUAGUCAACAAAGAGCUGGUGCGACGAAGCGUCACAGGAGUUUAUCAGCGGUGUGUGGAGUCGGACCAAGGCCAAGCAAUACUUAGAGAUAUCCACCAGGGCGAGUGCGGCCACCACGCGGCUUCAAGAUCACUUGUGGCCAAGGCUUUCCGCCACGGUUUCUUCUGGCCAACUGCCCUGGAAGAGGCCAAAGAGCUAGUUCAGAAGUGUCAAGGGUGCCAGAGGUUCCGCUCCAAGCGACACCUGCCGGCUUCUGCACUCAAGACCAUCCCCAUAGCUUGGCCCUUUGCUGUUUGGGGUCUGGAUAUGGUAGGGCCGUUCAAGACGGCCUGCGGUGCCAUGACUCACUUGCUGGUUGCUGUGGACAAGUUUACCAAAUGGAUAGAGGCAAAACGAAUCAAGAAGUUGAACGGGACGACUGCCGUGACCUUCAUCACCGACAUCACCACGCGAUACGGCAUCCCACACAGCAUCAUCACCGACAACAGCACCAACUUCACCAAGGGAGCCUUGGCUCGUUUCUGUGCAACACAGGGCAUCCGCCUGGACUUAGCGUCCGUUGCCUACCCACAGUCAAAUGGCCAGGUGGAGCGUGCAAACGGCCUCAUUUUGUCCGGCCUCAAGCCUCGACUGGUCGAGCCUCUGGAGCGUUCGGCCGGCUGCUGGCUCGACGAGCUGCCGGCCGUCCUUUGGAGCCUGCGCACAACUCCAAAAAAGUAAACGGGCUUCACGCCUUUCUUCCUCGUCUAUGGUGCCGAAGCUGUCAUCCCGACGGAUAUUGAAUUCGACUCCCCAAGAGUCACCAUGUACAUUGAGGCAGAGGCCAAGGAAGCACGAGAAGACGGCGUCAACUUGCUGGAGGAAGGCCGGCUGUUGGCACUCAGCUGGUCGGCCAUCUACCAGCAGAGUCUGCGCCGAUACUACAACCGCAAGGUGAAGCCAAGAUCCUUCCUGGAGGGAAACCUUGUGCUCCGGCUGAUCCAGCAAACAGCCGGACAGCACAAGCUCUCGCCACCUUGGGAACGCCCUUUCAUCAUCAGUAAGGUACUGGGCAACGAUGCCUACUAUCUGAUCGAUUCCCAGAAGCCCAGAGCGCGUAAAAGGGAUGAUUCAGGCAAAGAAACGGAGAGGCCAUGGAACGCAAACCUCCUAUGAAGGUUUUACAUUUGAAAGCAGUAUGUAUCACGCUACCUUUUGUACUAUGUAUAAAUACUCCGGGUCCACCGAGAAGAGCUCGGGGACUGCCCUCUUUUUAUCUACAUGAUAAGUGUCAUGCCUAUGAGAAUGUAUACUCUAUUUUUUACCGCCUGGCACCGGGUUCGAACAGUCGGCCCGGAGCCUCGCCGCCUUCUACACUAUGCCGCCUCCUGUAGCCGGACAAGUAGUGUGUCGGUGCAAAAAACUUCCUUUGUCAGAAGCCACAGCUCGCAGAGCGACUGCAUGGCGGGCAAAGGUUGCAAAGAAGUGCCCCACACGAAAAAACGACUAAGGAGGAAAGCGCAUAUAGUAGAAGGCGGCAUUGCCCCUAGUCGUCUGGCUACUUGGCAGCCAGACGGCCGGCCUCCAUCUUACUACCCAAAGCUCCGAAUGGCUAUGUCCUAGCCCCCCUCACGAGCGGCUAGAAUGCUCAAACCAGCCACGGUCCGCAGAGCGGCCGCCUUGGCUGGUGAAAGCAAAGCCAAAGGGUCGGCGGCAAAGGAAAAAACCAAGGAGAAAAAGGAAAAAAGAUUGGAGGUCGGCACAACAAGCAUAAGCAAUGAUAAAAUAUUUACAUGGACAAAAGGCCUCUGGCUAGCAUUCAAACAAAGUUUGAUAUACACCCCGAGGGUGGAAUUGCGCGAAUUUAACAAAAUGUUUAGAGCAGCAAACAGAAAGCAGAUAAAACCCUAAGGAGCAGCAGAAGGCUCCGGCUGGGCGGUGCCGGUUGGUGCAACAGAAGGCUUUGGCUGGGCAGUGCCACCUGGCGCGGCAGAAGGAUCCUGCUGGACGGGGCCAAAUGGCGUGGCCAAGGACUCCGGCUGGAUGCUGGAGUCAGCUGCACCACCGGGCGCAGCAGGCGGCUUCGUUUGAGCAGAAGGAUCGCCAGCAGUAGGCGGGGCGGCUGAGGACUGGAGGACAGAGUCGAUGGCGUCUGUUGGAGGAACGGGCGGCGGGUCCGCCCCCACUUGGGUGCCUCCAGUAGCGGGCAGCACCUCGGUGCGUGGCUUGUUGCUUGAGGCCCGGUCAGGCUGGGGCUGACCGUACGCCCUGACCUCCGGCAUGUCGACGUCGCUCUCCUCGUCUUCCUCCUCCUCCUCAUCUCCUUCCUCCUCCCCGUCUUCCCCUUCGUCGCUGGAGUCGAUGACUUCAGCAGAAUCUUCACUGUCCUUCGGGUUCAGCCCGAGCCACUCGUGCGGAGCUUCGCCACCUUCCUCGACCACCUCCGGUACAAAGACACUAGUGUCGGUGAAGUCGGCGAUCGCCGCUGCCCUGUCGACAAGCUCAGCUUCCACCGCCGCCAGCUCCUCCUACGCCUCCAGCCGGAACGUGGCUAACUGGGCUAGAUCUAGCCCAGGGUACCACGCCUUGACGAAUUCCAAGGCCCAGCACGUUCCUGCCCGGGCUGCUGAGCCCUUCCAGGCCUCCAGGCGGCCGACCGCCACCUCCAGCCAGUCGGCAGUCCGACUUGGGGUGCGCGGAGCCGGCAGGCCUAGCCAGAGGGCAGAGACCGCCUGGGCUUCGGCGCGCUGGAGGCGGCGUAGCAGGCGGUGGGCAGGCCUAGCCAAGAGUCCGCGGGGCGUCUGCGGCGAUCUGCGCACCUUCCGCCCUUCGCUCCUUGCGCUGGGCCUCGAUCAUCUGGAUCGCGGCUACGGAAUGGCCCGGGAAGAAGUCUGUGCGGGCAGAAGAAGAAAAAAUGCCAAGAACAUAAGCAAGGGCCGGCAUCUCAAAGCAAGAAACCAGGGGAGCAAGGCUUACCAUCGACCAAGUCUUCGAUGCUGCUGAAGCAGGCUGUCAUCUAGGCCUCCUUGUCGGCCCAGGCAGAGCGCUCGAGCUUAAACUCGGGAAGGAGGCUGGUCUCCGCCAUCUCUGCCUUUAGCUGGGCCGCCUUGAGGGUUUCCGCCUGUUCGGCGAGCUGGGCGACCAGGUGGUCCCGCUCCUCCGUCAGCUUGCUGCACUCCGCCUCCUUGCCACGCAAGGGGUUCUUGGCUGCCCCCAACUGCUGCUGCAGGACGGCAUUAGCCUCUGAAGAAAGAAAGAGAAGAAGAAGGCAUCAGUCAAGCAGACAAGACAAAGGAAAGAAACAACCGAGGAGAUUCGGCCCGACUGCUCAGCAGUCGGCCCGAACCUCGGGGACUACAGCCCGCGGGCGCGCCAGUGCACCCCCGCGGAAAAGAAGUAGUCGACAAGGAAAAAAGAACAACUGAGGAGAUUCGGCCCGACUGCUUAGCAGUCGGCCCGAACCUCGGGGACUACAGCCCGCUGGUGUGCCAGCGCGCCCCCGCGAAGAAAGAAGACAGAAACUUACGCCGGCUUUCGGCGAGAUGGGCUGUCUGCGCCUCCAGCUCCCGAACCUUGGAGUUGUAGGCGGUCGCGCGAAGGUUAUGAUAGUCCUGCAGAAGAAACAUCAGAAUGAAAUCAGCAAUCAACAAUUGCAAGUUAAAGUUCCGACCCGCCUGCUCAGCAGCCGGCCCGGAACUUGGGGACUACACCCAGUGGGUGCGCUUGCGCGCCCCCAUGAGAGAAGCAAAGAAGAUCAUUCGAAGAAGAAACCAAAAGACAAUUUACCCGGAUAGCGGUGCGUGACUCCAAGUAGGCCUAGUUGCAGCGCUUGAGUGCCACCGCCUCUGCCCGGAGCUUGGCUUGGACGUCAAGAGAUGCCUCGUUCAGGGCGCCAGUCCCGCCCCCGUGUACCCAACCCACGGGCGCGGCACUGGUCGCCUCGGUAUCAAGGGCCGACGAGCUCGUGGUGCCGAUCUCUUGCGGCCGCGGUGCUGAGGCCGCCUUCUCCAGAUAGUGGCGCGUGGGAAUGCAGACCGCAGGAACCAGGACCGUUGCCACCGUAGUCUCGACCGGUGGCACCGGCGGCGCCACUGGCUGUUCGUCCCGCGGCUCGCUUGCUGGCGGCGGCGGCGGCGGGGGGGAGGAGGGGGGGAGGGGGGGCAGCGACACAAAGACGUCCGGCAUGGCUACGUCGCCGCCCCCUGCUCCCGGAUCGGGUAGUCUCCGCUGGCUCCUCUGGCCGUCGCCUUGAAAUCAGGCGGAGGCGGCGUAGUGUUCAGGGGGGCCACAAGUAGUGGCUCUUGGCGGCGGGCGGCCUCUACGAGCCGCUUCUUCUCUGCGGCUUGGGUUUCCACUUGCGCCAGCGCCCUCUCGACAGACGCGGCAGACAAGGCCGCCUGCUCCUUGGCCAGGCGGUCAGCCUCCGCCGCAUCGCGCGCCUCCCGCGCAUUCCGCUCUGUCGCCUCCCAGAGGUCGGCAGCCGGGUCGAUGCGCCGGCUGGUCGAGGAGGUUGCUGCCGACCUGAGGACCAAGCCGGCGCCCGAUUUCUCGAGGGUUAGCGGGGCCCUAAAAGAAGAAGACAAGUCAGAAGACUUUCACACCAGAUUGAUGAAAAGACAAGGAGUAAGGGAAUGAUGCUUACACCGACACCAUGACAGGCACCUUCGGCUGCCUCUGAUACUGGUCCGCCUUGGCUGCGGUCCUUCUCCGCCUGGUCACCGCGGUCGGGUUCUUGGGCUUCUUUGGAGUGUUGCCGAACAGGGUCAAGCCCUCACUACAAGAAAUAUGUCAACUUGUGACCACCACUAUUGGUCACUGAAAGGUCAUAAAUUUCCAUUUACGACCUUUUUGUGACCAAAAACAGAAGGUCAAAAGCUGGCCGUCGUAAACUGACUAUAGCGACCUUUCUUCUGGAAUGGUCAAAGACGUUUACGACCAAAAUAUUCCUACUGUGGCGUUUUGGUCACUAGCAACCUCCCCCAGGCCACGUAGGCAUCCAGCGUGGCAAGCUGAUGUGGCACAAGAUUCAGCCCGGUCCAAUUCGAUUUUCUACAUGGGCCGAGCCCAUUAAUUCAACCCAUUUAUGUUUUUUUUCUCGAUUUUCAUGAGUUGCAUGGACCAAGCCCAUCAAUUUAGCCUAUUUAUAUUUUAUAUAUCAGUUUUCGUCAGCCACAUGGGCAUAGCCCAACAUUUUAGCCUUUUUAUUAUUGGGCCAUGGCCUUUGUUUUCUUGUUUUUUAAGAUUCUAGUAAGUGGGUCCGAAAUGUCAGGUUCUGUUUUGUGGGUCCCUCAUGUCAACGUCAUGUUCUUCAGAUUUCAAUAUGCCAGUGAAUAAAUAACAAAUAUUUAAAUUCAAAUAGACAGAAAACACAUGUAAUACUUCAAAUAACAACAACCAGAAUCAGUAUGGAGCUCUUGCUCUACCAAUAACACGUAAUACAAUUGGAAUCACAAUAUUACAAGCUCUAAAAGUGUGAUGGCUGGCUACAGUAAUUUACAACUCCACAAUUGUCUUCUCUUCUUCAGAAUGGAGCUCCUGUCAAUAGCGAUCACAAACUGGGCACAUGCUCCUGUCAUAUGAACCACAUGCCAUACUCACUAGACGACCAUAGUCAGGAUUAGGCUGUGACCUUCAUUACAAACAGCAAUAUGAAUUUCCAUCCUUUCCACGAUCACCCUUUCAAGGAUUGGUGCUGACUCACAUUAAAAAAGAUUCCAUACGGACAAGCAUUCUAGAAACUAACUAGUCAAGGAUCACAUAUAUAGUUGUAAAGGCAUUCCAUACUAUUAAGAUGGACCAAAUUCAUGCAGAUACAACAUGUCUCACUAGUUCAAAGUGGAGCCACAGGAAGCUUACCAUUACGCAAUGGAUUGAUCAACAAAAGGGCCAGGUAGACGGCAGGACCAACACAUAUUAUCCAUCCCUGGGUCCUCCAGCUUCCAACAUGUUGCCUCCUCCUUGCCCUUCCUUUAAGAAAAAUAACUUCCUUCAAGAAAAACAACACAUGGUCAGUGCUGCCCCAAUAUAGCAAUCAAGAACUACAAAUGCAACGUAGCCUCAAAUUUAACAGAGCAAGAACUACAAAUGCAACAUAGCCUCAAAAACUAAGUUUGACAUGUCAUUUUAAAGAUGUGCCGACCUUUAUUUAUUUCUAUCCUUGGAUGAGAAGGCUAGAGCAAAGUUAGCUUUCUUGUCUGCGUAAGGAUGAGAACUAAUAACUGUAGUGUUGCAACAUAAGGACAGUACAGAUACCAUAAUAAGUUUCAGGAACAUCACAUCUAGCACAGUUGCAGAGAUGGCACAAAAUUCUUCUAUGCAAUUUUUAACAUAUUUGUAAUAAUUUUCAUAAGCAAUGAAUCAUGACAAACAAAUUAUGAGUUAUGAAGUGGUUUCAAACUAUAACAGUGAAGGACUAGACCCACAAAACACAACGAUGUAUAGGCACUAAACGUACAGCAAGUAAUAAGAACCGAGACCAUAAAUGAUACUGAUCAAGGAUAAAAACAGGUAGGUAUCAUAUAAUUCUCAUCAUAAUCAUACAUUGAAUUCAUUAAAGGCUACAGAUAUAGAAGUAUCAGGCAACCAAAAGGGUUAAGACCAUACACAAGGAUCAGUGUUAGCGGAAUUGAGAUAUAUUUGUACAGGGUAAUGAAAGGUGCGAAUCCAGUGCAAGAUAAUAGAGCAAAUAUGUCAAAGUUAUUUAGAUUUGCUAAUGUGUUUGUCACACUACCAAAAUUCAAGAUAAAUCAUGACAGGGAAACGAGUGAAUUACAGCAAAGGAGGCAUCUAAUUUGACUACCAGUACCACAAUCAUUGAGUGAAAGCAAACACCAGAGAAUUCAGAAAUUUUUUGAACUGAAUGCAAGCAAGUUUGAUCAUGACAUAGCAAGUCUGCAGUCCGUAAUUAGAUUAGAUGUUCUAACUCAUGAUCCACAUACAUAGAGACCUACUGGAAUCUGCUUACGCUUAAACAAGAAAGAGAACAAAAAAAACUAAACCUAACUAUGCAGCAGAGAGAGAUAGCAUGGGGGGACGACCUAUGGACCAAAAUGUCCUUCACUAGAUCGUUCAAGGGAGCACAACAACAGUAGCAGACCUUGCAUGAUCCUUCACACAACCAGAUCGGAGCAACCCGCAAAGAAACACAUGAAUUAGCAUUCAUUCAUUAGCAGCAUUGGCCUGCCAAAAUAAAUCUCAGUUAUAUAAUUCACUGUUGAAUACAGAGAAAGAUAAUUGCUUCUAUGCAAAAUGUUACACAUCAGUUUAUCAUAAAACACAAAUGGAAGUAGGAAAAUGAUUUAGUAAAAUGCUCACAUAAUAGAUCAUAUCAGCCGAGCUUGCAAAGGCUUAAGAUCUAACUGGCCGAAUGGAUUUGUAAUAAGGUAUUGGAUUUAUCAAACUGUGUAAUUAUACAUCAAGGUUUGCAGGUGCAAGAAAUCCAUCAGAUGGAUCAUGGCAUGCACGACAAAAUUUGAUACAGUUUUAAUUGAAGACAGUAUGUACAGUAUGAGCAGUGAAAAAUAGAAGCAUCUCUUGUAUAUAUCCUAAUUUACCAGUUGUUUAGCACCAAGGUACAGGUGAGAGCUUAGUGCAACAGUCACAGGGAUCAAAAGGUAUUCCAGAAUAAAAUAGCAAGGUUGUUAAUUCAGAUUCAAUGUCAAGGCUGAACAUACUAGUGAUUACAAAACUGAACGAGCCAAGGCUGUUCAUUCGGGUUCACAGGCAAUCAACAAGAUGGCCGAGAUCGGGACCAAGCAAUAUACAGAGGUGGUGGGAUCAGGGGGCGCGCGUGCGCGAUACCUUGGAGGUACUGCUGCUGCUGGUGCUGGGGAGGCUGGUCGCCCUUGGCGGCGGCCUUCUUCCUGGCCUUGGAGGGCUUGUCGGGGUCGUCGUCGUAUCCUCGCGCACGGGCGCGCUGGCCAUCAUGGUUCCGGCGACCUUCGACAGAGAGGAGGGCGUCCAGGAAUUCAGAUACCCACGCUAGGGAGAAGGAGCAGAGCCGCGCCGGCGGAGGGAGCUUCUCACCUCUUGUAUCCGAGGAUGGUGCCGCGGAGGUAGAGCCUCACGCGCUGGCCGGUGCGUCCCUUCACCAUCUUGCUACUGCAGCGCCGCCGGGGAAGGGAGCUGAGGUUCACCAUCUUCCUGACAACUGCCGCCGCCUCCGUCCCCACAGACGAGGCGAACAUGGCCCCGCCGUCUUGGAUGGCCUGCACAAACCCGCACAAACACAAUGAGAUUCGAGCAAGCUGAAGAAAUCUAGAAGGAGGAGGAGAAGAAAGAGGGGCAAUACCAGAUCUCACCUACACGUGCCGCCUGCGAGGUGGCCAUAGCGUCGAUCUAGGGUUUCGGCACGGAGAGAAAGAGAGGGUGGAGUCGAAGGAGAGUGUGGAGUCGAAGGAGGAGGCGAACGACGCGACGGACCGAGCGAGGCGGGGACGGUGUCGCGCGCGCGCGUGCUCCGAUGCGGCGGCGGCGGUGGAGCAGAGAGCCCCGCGAGCGAGGGAGGCAGAGGAGCAUCGGAGGAGGACCUCGGGCUUCUCUUCUGUCGUGCUUGGGCAUGGAGUGGCGGCGAUGCAAGAGCCCCGCGGGACGCGAGGUUGGUCGAGGACGAGGGAGACGAGGGGAGAGUGAGGGCGGCGACCGAGGUGGGUGGCGGGGANNNNNNNNNNNNNNNNNNNNNNNNNNNNNNNNNNNNNNNNNNNNNNNNNNNNNNNNNNNNNNNNNNNNNNNNNNNNNNNNNNNNNNNNNNNNNNNNNNNNNNNNNNNNNNNNNNNNNNNNNNNNNNNNNNNNNNNNNNNNNNNNNNNNNNNNNNNNNNNNNNNNNNNNNNNNNNNNNNNNNNNNNNNNNNNNNNNNNNNNNNNNNNNNNNNNNNNNNNNNNNNNNNNNNNNNNNNNNNNNNNNNNNNNNNNNNNNNNNNNNNNNNNNNNNNGGGGGGGGUGGAUGGAAAACGGGGGAGAAGAGAGCUAGGGUUUCGCCUCACAUGGGGUUGGUGGGGGAGGUGAGGGGUGAGGGCUGCCGUUGGAUCCGGGAGGAUCCAACGGUGUUUCAUGCAUGAUCCGCGUGUCUGGUCCACGGACCAAUCAGAAUGCAGUACAACAUUAUGACCAACUAACUUGGUCGUGAUAGAUUUAAAAAUAAGAUGUUAAAAUCAUGUAAGCUAUUUUAUGAUCACAAAAAUUCAAAAAAAAUAAAAGACCUUCUCAUUGUGUCACCAAUUGUGAACUACCUUUCAGGAAAAUAACAAACAUGGAAUGGCAAACAAUGUUGCCUAAGAAAGUUUUCAUUUUUUUUGCAAGAAAAAAAUCAUUUUUCAUUUCCUGAGUGCCCAAAAUGGGUUUUUUUUCUGAAGGACCUACCAAAUAAUUGUUGCAAAAUUAAACCAAAUCAAUUUUCUAAAAUAUACUAGGACAUAUUUAAUGCACAAUUGACAAAAUGGUUGGGUGUCAAAAGUUUUGAUCCACCUCUGGUGAAAAAGACAAAUUUCUGACGAUUCAGUUGGAAGCGGGUCAAAUUUGAACUGCAGUUGCCUCAUAGUUUGCUAUUUAUUUUUUUAAAAAAUCAUUUCUAGAUACAUAAGUAUCUAUUUAAUCAGAGAAACACCAAAAAAAUCCAAGAUUCAACCACUAGCUAGGAACGGUCAUUCCUGCCGUUUUGACCGCAUUUUGAAACGGGUAUAAAAAAUUCAAAAAGAAAAACAAAAAAUUGGGAAACCUUCGCAUUGUGUCAUCAUAUGUGGCCAAGUUCCUAGGAAAAAUAACAAACUUGUAAUACGGCAAUUAUUUUAAAAAAGUGUUCUCAGAAACGAGCUAUCAUGUGUGGAGAUCAAUGGCUUUCAAGCCAAAUGAUCAAUCUUAUGGCCACAUUCAUGGCAUAGUUUGUUCAAAUGAUCUCAUAUUGUGCACAAGGGUGCAUAUUGGAAUGGCAAACAAUGUUGCCUAAGGAAGUUUUCAUUUUCGUUGGACGAAAAAACCAUUUUCCAUUUUUCGAGUGCCCGAAAGGAGGUUUUUUUGUGAAGGAACUACCAAAUAAUUGUUGAAAAAUUGGACCGAAUCAUUUUUAUAAAAUACUAGGCCAUAUUUAAUGCACAAUUGACAAAAUGGUUUGGUGUAAAAAAAUUUGAUCCACCUCUCGUGAAAAAGACAAAUUUCCGCCGAUUCAGUUGGAAGCGGGUCAAAUUUGAACUGCAGCUGCCUCAUAGUUUGCUAUUUAUUUUUUCCAAAAAUCAUUUCUAGUUACAUAAGGACCUAUUUAAUCAGAGAAACACCAAAACAAUUCCAAGAUUCAACCACUAGCUAGUAACGGUCAUUCCCGCCGUUUUGACCGCAUUUUGAAACGGGCAUAAAAAAUUAAAAAAAAAUCAAAAAAUUGGGAAACCUUCGCAUUGUGUCAUUAUAUGUGACCAAGUUUCCAGGAAAAAUAAUAAACUUGUAAUACGUUAAUUAUUUUAAAAAAGUGUUCUCAGAAACGAGCUAUCAUGUGUGGAGAUCAAUGGCUUUCAAGCCAAAUGAUCAAUCUUAUGGCCACAUUCAUGGCAUAGUUUGUUCAAAUGAUCUAAUAUUGUGCACAAGGGUGCAUCUUGGAAUUCCAAAUAAUGUUGCCUAAGGAAGUUUUCAUUUUCUUUGCACGGAAAAUUCAUUUUUCAUUUUCCGAGUGCCCGAAAUGAGGUUUUUUUGUGAAGGAACUACCAAAUAAUUGUUGCACAAAUGGACCAAAUCAAUUUUAUAAAAUACUAGGCCAUAUAUAAUGCACAAUUGACAAAAUGGUUGGGUGCAAAAAUUUUGAUCCACCUCUGAUGAAAAAGACAAAUUGUCGUCGAUUUAGUUGGAAACGGGUCAAAUUUGAACUGCAGCUACCUCAUAGUUUGCUCUUUAUUUUUUCCAAAAAUCAUUUCUAGGUACCUAGGUAUCUAUUUAAUCAUAGAAACACCAAAAAAAUUCCAAGAUUCAACCACUAGCUAGUUACGGUCAAGCCCGCCGUUUUGACCGCAUUUCGAAACGGGCAUAAAAAAUUCAAAAAAAAUCAAAAAAUUGGGAAACCUUCGCAUUGUGUCAUUAUAUGUAGCCAAGUUUCCAGGAAAAAUAAUAAACUUGUAAUACGGUAAUUAUUUUAAAAAAGUGUUCUCAGAAAUGAGCUAUCAAGUGUGAAGAUUCAUGGCUUUCAAGCCAAAUGAUCAAUCUUAUGGCCACAUUUAUGGCAUAGUUUGUUCAAAUGAUCUCAUAUUGUGCACAAGGGUGCAUAUUGGAAUGUCAAACAAUGUUUCCUAAGGAAGUUUUCAUUUUCGUUGGACGAAAAAACCAUUUUCCAUUUUUCGAGUGCCCGAAAGGAGGUUUUUUUGUGAAGGAACUACCAAAUAAUUGUUGCAAAAUUGGACCAAAUCAUUUUUAUAAAAUACUAGGCCAUAUUUAAUGCACAAUUGACAAAAUGGUCUGGUGUAAAUUUUUUUGAUCCACCUCUCAUGAAAAAGACAAAUUUCCGCCGAUUCAGUUGGAAGCGGGUCAAAUUUAAACUGCAGCUGCCUCAUAGUUUGCUAUUUAUUUUUUCCAAAAAUCAUUUCUAGUUACAUAAGGACCUAUUUAAUCAUAAAUACAUGGUUUGGUGGCGAUACGUCGAGGUUUGGGCGGUGGCCGAGGGCCCCAACUCUAGAGCGCGUAAACUCGCAUGCCCGCCGCGUGGUCACCGCGUGACCGUGGCGUUGCCAUGUGUUCUAGGCGGCCUAGGCAUGUCUAGUGGGUUGGGCACUCCCCAGGUUGGUGCUAGGAAGAAAAUUACAACAUAAGAUUCUCACGAGGAGACCAAUCGAUGCUCAAACAUGAAUUAGCAGCCAAGUGUUUGAUUAGCGGUACGGGAAAUGUACAUGGCUAAUGGGCAUGAGUUUUGGCUGAGGAUGAUCAGUUACUAAGAAGACCGUUUUCACAAAUUUUCAGCUCAAAAGAAGGAGCCUAGGUGGUACUUGCUUUGCAAACCACCACACUGGACACAAAUACGAAUGUUGAAGCUCGGCUCAAAAUAAUGAAUGGAUUGAGCUGGCAUUUGGUGGAGGAUGGUUAUUUGGGCAUAGGAAAGCACUGUAGAAAAUGGAUACUAUUUGGACAUGCCAAAGUGGUACUUCCUUCACAAACUGUUACUCUGAACAGAAUAGGAAAAUGAAUAUUUUUGAAUUAUUUUUGAACUAGGCAAGAAAGGUUUUUACAUAUUUGACGAAGAUAUGACCCAAAGAAUUUAUGAGAUUUUUUUGGGAAUUUUGGGAAUGACAGGAAUAUAGGUUGCUUCACAACCUAGGGCAAAAACUGCCACAUGGACAUGACACAUAGGCAAAACUGAUGAGGUGGCGCCUAGUCAUAGCAACCCACCACAAUUUACAAGUCUAUGACCAUCUAUAUUGGUCGUUAACAACUAGAAAUAAGGCAGCGGACUAGCGCUGUUAGCUUUAUGACCAUUUCAUGUAAGGAAAUUAUGACCUUUCUGACCAAAAUGGUCGCAGUGGUUUAGGGUUUGGAGCCCCUCGAACAGCUUUUGACCAAUUGGUCUCAAAUGGUCAUAAAUCUAUGACCAAUUCUUCCAGGGUCACUGACAGAAGGUCAUAAGUUGACAUAUUUCUUGUAGUGCCUGUUUCCGCUUGCGCUUGCCGCCUGGGGCGGGCUGCCCAGAAGAGGGGCCGGCGCCGGUGGUAGCGGAGCUCCGGGCGGGGCGCGGCUCGUCUUCGUCUUUGUCGUCGUCAGGCCAAGCCUCCACGCUGCCGCUUCCCUCGGAGCCGCCUGCUCCACUACCGCCGUCCGCUCUGCCACCGCCGCCUGUCGCGUCGUCGACCAGGGCGGUCGCCCCCAUGUCGGGGUCGUCCACAUCACUCUCCGCCCUGUCAGCCUGAAGGUUAUCACCCGGCCCUAGGAGGGUGGUUGUGGCCUCGGACAUAUAAAUCAGCAACCAAGAAGGAAUUGAGUCAUGAAGAGAAACGAAGGAAAAGGAAACAGUUUGAAGGACAAAAAGAAGAAACUUACAGCGGGAGGCGGGUUGUGGCGAGAGUAUGGCCGCUUCCCAUACCGCCACUCCUUCUCCAACAUCUUGAGGUCGGAGAUCUCGUUUACCAUCCGCGAGACUUCAGUAGGCGGCAUCCCCUUCGUGCACAGCCGGCACGGAUCGCGGUGUCCACCCAUCCGGAAGAUCGGAUGAGGGCGGCUCUCGAGCGGGACGACCUGGCGCUCCACGAAGGCGACGAGGAGGUCGGAGGCCACGAGGCCCUCCGACUCCUGGAGCACUCAGAGCCGGCCGAUGGCGGCCGCCGCGUCCGUCGACAUCGGCUUCGACUUGUACUUCCAGGACGCGAGCUCCGGUGGGGGGGGCCCUCUUAGGCCGGCAGGUUGAGGAAGUCGGCAGCAGGGUCCACAUUCUCGACGUAGAAAUAGGAUUGCUGCCACAUCUUCACCGACUGCACUAGCUUGAUGACGGAGAAGGCGUUUCACUGCGCCGGCCGGCGCACGACGACGAAGCCCCCGCACUCGGCCGCCGUCUCCUUGGCGGAGGUGCCGAGCUUCCCAUAGAAGAAGGCUCCCCACAGCUCGAUUGUGGGGAGGAUGCCGAGGUAGCCCUCGCACGUCGUGACGAAGGCGGAGAGCAGGGUCAAGGCGUUGGGCGUGAGGUGGUGAGGUUGAAGGUUGUAGAAGUCGAGGAAGGUGCGGAAGAAGUUGCUCGCCAGGAGGCCGAAGCCUAGCAGGAAAUGCGAGCGGAAGACGACCCGCUCACCUUCCUGCGGCGCCGGCGAUAUCUCCGUCUCCGGCGGCACCCGCGCCUUGACGAAGGCCGCGCUGGGCAUCCGGCGCGUGUCGCGCAGGAAAGUGAUGUGAUCCUCGAUCACAGUCGAUCCACCCCAGUCACCCAUGGCUCUGUCUGGCGGCGCGGAGAGGAGGAAUGCGCCAGCGGUGGGGAACGGUGGCAGCAUUGCGGCAACAGCAGCGGCGGAGGAUGAGAAAAGGAAGAAGAAGAGUGGGAGAGGGCGUAGGAGCUUAGCCGCACCUCUCCCCCCUCCCUACUUAUAGCGCCCGGGCUAUGUAGCCGAGGGGCCGGGACGUGGGGACGUGGGAUUAACUGCGCCCACGCCCCCACGACCCCCCGUUUUUCCGCUCACAUUUACCACGUCGUAAGUAAUCGUGGGGAAUGGCAACCGUCCCCUUCGGCGCAGUUGAUCUGUCCGGUUGCCGAGGCACGGUGGUGGCGGGCUCGGCCCUGUGUCACGUCCCGUCCAAGCGUGGGUCGGGUGGCAGGCCGACGGGGCUGACGUGCGCCACAUGGCGCGCCCGUGGAGGGCGGCGGCCUGGGAAGCUUAGCAGGCACGCCACCUAUCUCCCGCCUGGGAGAUUGAAAAACCAACAGUACGAAGCUCCGCCUGCAAGAGAUCGGCCUCAGCAGCCGGCCGACCGCACGGCGGACCGGUACCUUCCCGGAGCCCAGUGAGGAGGGAAGCCGCUGAGGCUUCGCAGCCCCUCGACCGCGGUGCCUCACCGGCUUCGGGGACUACUGUCGGAGUAAUGGGCCAUGGGUAGGCUCACCCGAGUCCCUGGAUUCAUCAAAACUUUUGGCCAUCUCCGCCUAGCUGGGCCCCAAGAUGAAGCUCCGCCCUCUGGGGCCGGCUGGCUCAGCGGUCGGUUGCCAAAGGUCGGCCGUCCCAAGACUGCAGCGCUCCGAGUGGCCGGCUCCUGGCGGCCGCCCUCCAGAGAGGGCGGUAACAGGCAAGCGGCCACCACACGACUACGGGGCGACCGAGCUCCCAUCAAGAGUACAAGACGAAGCAUGGCUAUAGUGAGGAACGACGCCUCCCACGCUCGAGACGGGCGUGGCUACAGUGCUCCGUACAGACGGAGAUCUCCGCACGACGGAGCACUGUGCCGUAUCUACCCUGACGUCGCUCCGGGCAGGCGAAGCCCUGUUCACCACGACGGCCUGUCGGUACGGCAGGCCAGAGGCGGGCCCUAUCGGGAAGUGACCCCAAGGAAGACGGCGGAAGCUCAACCAGGCGGAUUAGAGAGGGGCCGGCCUCCAGCAGGCGGCCGUCCCUUGUCCCGAGACGAGCACGCCAUUAAGCUGAUAAGACCAGGUGUGGCUAUAGUGUCCUCCCACCAGGCGGCGGGACUGUAGCCACGCUAGGAUGACCAAGCCCCCACCGCCAACGACACGGCUACAGUGAGCAGCCGCCAACCAGUCGGUGGGGCCCACCAGGUGGCGGGCCCCAGCGGUCGGCGGAGAAGCCGGAGGCUGGAGACACUAACAGCCGGGCCCAGCGGCCGGCGAGGUUACCAUUGUACCCCUGGGGGGUAGGCCUAUAUAAACCCCCCAGGCCACCCAUGCAAAGGGUUCCCACACCAUUAGAACUAGCCACCCCCUAGUGCAGGAAGAGAGCUAGCCUUGCCACCUUCUGCGUCUAGCAUACAGCUCGAGGAGCACCAUUGUAUCACUUGUGCCUUAGUGAUCAUGCGGAGACCUCGCAGAGCAGGACUAGGGGUGUUAUCUCCUAGGAGAGCCCCGAACCUGGGUAAAGUACGCCGGCGUUCGUGUCUACGCCUUAUCCCGCUUCCAGGCACCGGCGACGUUCUACUCGCUCCCACCAUGAUAAGCCAUCCAUUGGCAUAUGUCGCACCCAACCCCCGACACCUCAACCACUUCGAGAAAAUUAUGCACGCCCUUAAUGUACUCGGAGGUGUGUCUAUCACCAUACAUCCAUUGCCGGUUCAUCUGCGUGCAUUAUAUAUAAUUAUGUGUGUCAAAAGUAAGAAAAUCAGACAAAUAUCUACCUAAAGUAAGAAAAUCAGACGAGUAUCAGAAAGAAGAUAAGAACAAGAGGCUCCCCACUGUGGUGCCGGCGACGAGAUCGGCGCGGGCGAUCAACGGCGGUGAAAACGGGGACGGGGCGUGACGAACCGCUAAAUCUAGACAAAUCUCGAAAAAAAUGGAGCUCCGAGGUCGAGCUUCGAGAGGAGAAAGCUUAACUAGUGUGGGUCGGGCAUUUCAUCGAACACCUCAUGUGCAUAGGAGGUGAACUAGAGCACCAAAAUGCCCUCUCAUCGCCGGAUUGAAAACACAUAGCACUGGAGUGCUCUGCCGCGGCGGUGGGUAUAUAUAGGCAAGUUAUUUGUCCUGGUUCAUGGCAUGAACCGGGACUAAAGCACCCCCUUCUGUCCCGGUUCAAGCCAUGAACCGGGACCAAUGGUUGUGGGCCAGGAGCGAGGACCAUUGGUCCCGGUUCGUGGCUUGAACCGGGACAAAUGGUUCCACACGAACCGGGACCAAUACCCACGAGGCCCCGGCCGUCCCCCUGGGCUCACGAACCGGGUCUAAUACCCCCCAUGGGUCCGAACGGUAGCCUUGUUUUCUACUAGUGUUAGUACAAAGUUAAUAGAAAGUUGGGUCAUCUAUUUCGAAACGGAGGGACUAGUAGACUUUCCACUGAGCUGAUACCGCUUUUAUGAUUGAUAUUCGUUCAAGUUAUUUCAAUAUCUAGUUUAGAAGAAUUUGAAUUCAAAAUUCAAUUGAAUUUGUUCAAAAUAUGUUUGGUAUUUCUCGGUAACCGUGGUAAUCGAGAGUAUUGCCCCCCACGAGAAAAUUUGUCCAUUCGGAAUCCAAAACCUUGGUUAUGACUUGUAUCUUGCGUUUCUGAUGCUGAUUUUUCGUUGUGAGUCUGCUUGUAUGUAAAUAUUUGUAUAUUCGAAAUGCAAGGACAUAAUAAAACCAUGGUUUGAAAAUAACUUAAUCUACACCCUACACUGUGAAAUACAUUUUGCGUGCAUGUGUGUUUGCUACUAUUCUGUAUCAGUUGACACAUUGCCCCAAGAAACUCAAGUGGCUUACUAGGGAAUUUAUGUUCUGGUUUGGGUUCCGUGCUGCCAGUGGACUUCAUACUGCUAUAUCUUCUCAGUGUAGCCUGCCCCACUUCUAUAAUCUGGUUACAUUUGUUGUGACCGUACGUAUUAAGUUUUGUGAUAAGUGCGUUGGUUAUAUAUAUAUGCAUCCUUGAUACGGAGAGCGGAGACGAAAAGAACUUCCUUCUAGAGAAACAUAUAUAUCAUGGGGUCGCUAUCUAGAUGGUCCGAAGGGAUAUUUCCCGGAAAACACAAAUGUUCUGCAUGACAUUGACAUCCAAUGAUAUUUUUACUUUUUAGCUAUUCGCUAGCUGGCACUGCACUUGUGGAUCUCGUACAUUUAUUCGAUGGUUGUCGUCUCACGUACAGACAUGAGAGACCGUGUGUGGUGAAGUAUCGUGAUAUAUAUACAUGUAUGGUCGUCAUGCAUGAAGUAUGCGACUAGCUAUGUACUACGUGUGAAAAGUAUUAUUUGGCUGGACACAACAAGAGACGCUGCCUCAGCUAUGUUGCUGUCUGGAGAGCCUGUUGGUUCAACGAAUUACUUCUGAGAUUGGCUGCAGUUCGGUCAGUGACCUAGCUAUCAUCCCUUAGACUGGCUGGAGUGGAGCCAUAUUCAAGCUUACUCUAGAAGCAAAAGCGCAUUUCGCUGCACCGUCUGUGUUCUGAUUGAUUGUACACUUGUUUUACUUUGGGCCUCUGAAUCUCCUCUGGUUUCACCUUUGUGAGUCAAAGAAAUUUCCUGUGGCGAAUUUAUAUUGCAUGAGAGAGUUUUUCUAGUGCACCAUCCAUUCUUUGUUUGGAGAGUGAACCAUGCAUGCAUAAACCUGGGAAUAGUUUGUAAUCCAAACUAAACCCAGGCCAACCAAUACAUGUAUAAGUCCAGCGAUCCAUCCAAACCAGACCAAAUUGCAAAUGCUACAAUCCAAACCAAUCCAAACUGAAUGUAUUUUCAAGCCAAAUCCAUCCAGACCUUUCUCUACGUUUAAUUUGAACCCAAAGUUUCAAACCAUGGGUCAGUCAACAACAACUGGAACAACCCCAAACUUAACCUGUAUGUACAGAACUACGAAAGGUGUGAGGCUCCUACCAACGGCGGCUAGCUUGGUGUCAGGAGCUUCAGUAUACGUGUGCGUGCACCGUAAGAGCAGAUGGCGGCGCCGGCACGGUGGCCCAUGGCCGGCUGCAGGACCUAUCCGGACGUGUGCAAGACCCUUUGGCUUCCAGAUUCUCAUCGGCUUCGUGACCAUCACCUUCGUCGGCCACAUCGGCAAGGUCGAGCUCACAACCAUCUUCAUGGUGACAGCGUCGUCGAAGGCCUCGUCUUUGAGUUCCUCGUGUUCUGCAUGGAGUUGACUAUUGUCACCAGAGAUCUCGGUGGUGGCGAGGUGGUACGUGCGCUCAUGUCACUCAUCUCAGGCGGCGGUUGCACCUAAACCAAGCGUUGGUCUCACAUUACGCUGACGGUGUGUGGUUAAACGGUCGCUAGACUGGUUUUUAUCCGUGGACUAAAACGGUCUGAGACCAAUUUAUCUCUGUCCAGACCAAACCAACCCAAUCUAUUAAUUACAAAAGUCCACACCAAACUAAAUUACGAUAGAGGCUCAAUCCAUUUCAACCGAACCAAAGCAGCCCAACAGGUAAACCAAAUUGGAACUAUGGUUCGAGACCAAACUAUUCUCAGGUUUAUGCAUGCACCAUGCACCUUGCUCUGAAGACAGAACUCUGAUGUCUAGGUUUCUCCAUGCACUGCACCCACAACUGGCAAGAGCCACACACGUAAGUACUCUAUAUACCUAUAUUUGUACGUCCUGCCAUGUGAACGUCAAGAUCUGACACCUGGAGAAAUUAAAAGGCCAUCGAAAAGUUUGCCGAUUGACCAGUUUUCAAUCGGUUGCUGCCUGUCAAGCUCACGACAAUGUACGCAUGCCACAUAUGUAACCUACUUAUACUGAACCACUGCCGGCAUUACCAACGUGACCCCCAGCUGAACUAUGCAUGCAUAUGUAGUAGCUAGCUACUAAUAAAGCGGUCAAAAACCAUUUACCCCCCUCCCCAAAUGUAAUACUCCCUCCAUUCAUUUUUACUCCACGUAUAAGAUUUUUGUCGAGUCAAACUUUUGAAACUUUGACCAAAUUUGUAUAAAAAUAUAUCAACAUCUACAAUAUCAAAAUAUACAUAAUAUGAAACUACAUUUCAUAAUGAAUCUAAAAAUAUUCCUUUGGCAUUGUAAAUAUUUGAUCCUUUUUUCUAUAAGUUUGGUCAAACUAGAGAUGCUUUAACUUCAGACAAAAGUUAUAUGCAGACUAAAAAAAAGGAGGAAGUAUUUGUGUACAACGACUGGUACAGCUGGCAUUGUCUUGUGUUUAAGUGGCGUUUUCUGGAAUUCUUGCGUCAAAUUGUCAUUAUUUACUUACUUUUGGUUUGUUACAUACAUAGAGUACUGUUCAUCCACGUAAGAUUGAUGUUGUACGGAAGAUAGACCUGAAAAAUAGAAAAAGGGACAGAAAGGAUGGAGUCUUCACGGAAACUGGUGGCUUGGCAACGAGUCAAAGCUCUAGAUCCAGUGUAUCCCUCCGCACUGCUUCAUUACUAGCAACCUACAGAAGGGACUGGUCAGGCUACCUAAGUGAAUAUAUACCAUUUCGCAACCUAAAAAAUAGUUUUUAUUCAACACGAAAUUGUAUUUCUAGCCAUUUAUCGACCUGAAGGUAGCUUUCGUACAUAUUUAAAAAAACACUCAGUUAUUUCCAUGUCACCCGCAAAAAAAUUAUACUGUUGAUGCAUCUUCUCUACUCUUAUAAAAAAUUAAGUUGGUGAUAAUGAUGUGCCUACCAUCUUGCAAUAUAGACCGUCCGAUCUAUAUCUUACCCGCACCUCUCUCCACAUUUGCAGAUACUUCCCUCGUUCAUCCUUAUCUCUCACAACCUCAUUAUUGAGCAAUUAAAAAAGAAAGCAUCUGAAACAAUCUGGCAUGGCGGCCGCUGCCGGCGUCGUCCAUCCUCAUGCCUCCGCUCAGUCCGACGACCAAUCACCACCACGCCCCACUCCUCGUCACCUUAUCUCUUCUCUUUCUUGAGAUAUCAUUAGUUUUACACAUGAGAUUAUUCUCACAUAGGACAAGCACAACAGGUGUUUUGUAAAAAAAGCAUCUUCAUGUCCCAUUCAAUGCACGAGCAUCUUGCUAGUUUACAUUAUUUCUCUUAGCAAGCAGCCUAUAUAUAAAAGACAACCUACGUGCUAAANNNNNNNNNNNNNNNNNNNNNNNNNNNNNNNNNNNNNNNNNNNNNNNNNNNNNNNNNNNNNNNNNNNNNNNNNNNNNNNNNNNNNNNNNNNNNNNNNNNNNNNNNNNNNNNNNNNNNNNNNNNNNNNNNNNNNNNNNNNNNNNNNNNNNNNNNNNNNNNNNNNNNNNNNNNNNNNNNNNNNNNNNNNNNNNNNNNNNNNNNNNNNNNNNNNNNNNNNNNNNNNNNCCCCAAAUGUAACGUGUGUGUACAACGACUGGUACAGCUGGCAUUGUCUCGUGUGUAAGUGGCGCUUUAUGGAAUUCUUGGGUCAAAUUGUUAUCAUUUACUUUUGGUUUGUUACAUACAAGAGCACUGUUCAGCAACAUAAGAUUGCUGUUGAACAGGAGAUAGGAAUACAACAUACAACUCAAACCAAUCACGAUCAUCAAUCAACCCAUAGGAUAAAACGAAUCUAAUCAAACAUCAUAGGAUGGUCAUACAUCAUUGGGUAAUAAUAUGUAGCAUCAAGUGAUACGUCUCGAACUUAUCUAUAAUUUUUGAUUGUUCCAUGCUAUUAUAGUAUCAAUCUUGGAUGUUUAUUAUGCAAUUAUAUGUAACUAUAUCAUUUUUGGGGACUAACAUAUAAACCUAGUGCCCAGUGCCAAUUGCAAUUUUUUUUUUCAUGUUUUUAGCUUUUCAGGAAAUCAAUAUUAAAAAGAGUCCAAAUGGAGAAUUUUUUUUUGGAUUAUGGACCAGAGGGGACCGUAAAAGCUUCGGGAGAAGACUUGACAAGCCACGAGGGUGCGACAAGCUUGGGAGGCGCCCCAGGCUUGUGGGCCCCUCGUGGCACCUCUUAGCCUAAUUCUAGCACUAUAAAUUCUGAAAUAUCCCCCCUACAUCAAAGAGUCACCCGAAAUACCUUUUCCGCCGCCGCAAGUUUCGGUUCUCGCGAGAUCCCAUCUAGAGGCCAUCCCCGGGCACUCUGCCGGAGGGGGGAUCGAUCACAGAGGGGCUCUACAUCAACCUUGCCGCUAUUCCGAUGAUGUGUGAGUAGUUAACCAUAGACCUAUGGGUCCAUAGCUAGUAGCUAGAUGGCUUCUUCUCUAUCUUUGAUCUUCAAUACAAUGUUCACAUUGAUGUUCUUAGAGAUCUAUUCGAUGUAAUCACUUUUUAUGGUGUGUUUGUUGAGAUCGAAUGAAUUGUGAGUUUAUGAUCAGAUUAUCUACAAGUAUUAUUUGAGUCUUCUCUAAACACUUUUAUGCAUGAUUAUUAUACCUUUAUAUUUCUCUCCGAUCUAUUGAUUUGAUUUUGCCAACUAGAUUGAUUUUUCUUGCAAUGGGAGAGGUGCUUUGCAAUGGGUUCGAUCUUGCGGUGCUCAAUCCCAAUCCCCAUCUCCAAAUGUAACAUGUGUGUACAACCACUAGUACAGCUGGCAUUGUCUCGUGCGUAAGUGGCGCUUUCUGGAAUUCUUGGGUCAAAUUGUUAUUAUUUACUUUUGGUUUGUUACAUACAAGAGCAAUGUUCAGCAACGUAAGAUUGAUGUUGAACGGAAGAUAUACAGAAAAAAUUGGAAAAGGGACAGAAAGGGUGGACUCCUCGUGGAGACUCAUGACUCCACAAUGAGUCAAUGGCUCAAUGCGCUUGAUCCAGUGGAUCCCUCAUCACUGUUUCAUUACCAACCUACGGAAGGUUCUUUUUUCAGAAGAGAGGCGUCACACGUACAGAAGGGAUUGAUCAGCUCACUUAAGUGAAUAUACCAUUUUGCAACCUAAAAAACAAGUUUUCCGUCGACGCAGAUUUUUAUUUCUAGCUAUUUAUCGGUCUGCAUGUAACUUUCUUACAGAUUUAGAAAAACACUCAGUUAUGUUUAGGCUGUCCAUGUCACUCGCAAAAAAAUUAUACUGUCGAUGCAUCUUUUGUGGUCUUUCUUGUAGAAAGCAGCCUAUAGAUAGAAGACAUCCACGUGGGUAGUAUUUCAGCUCUCUCGGCAUUAUGAAAUGGUGGCACAAAUAUAGCGUCAAGUUACACGACAAAAAGUUCCCAUCGAUAUCUCAUAAGAGCUUGCCACCAAAAGAAAGAGAAUCCCGUAUCAAUUAGAGAUUUUCCAUAUCCGAGGAAAUAAACAUAGAGAGUGACCUUUUACUAUGAGGAAGCAGACAGCAGUAUGUUCAUGCUAUUCGGUACUAACAUUAACGGCGAGGAAUUAAUUGUUACUUUUCCACACCCUUUCUACUAAUACGUCAUUGCAUACGUUGGAAGUCAAAAAGAACAAAAGAAAAUGCAUUACUAUACACUAAUAAAAUUGUAUACGCAUCCUAAAAUCACAAACGUAAAAAGACAACACAUAAAAUGUAAAUAAUGACAUUUUUUGGUAUGGUUUACAUGGUUAUGACCAAGGUUUUGGGUACUGCCAAAAAAUCUGGAUACCGGGCGGUAUGCGCGUUUCUCGCCGCUCCACAAGAAAUACCCAUCCCAAGCAAAAAAGAAAAAAAAAAUUCAUUUUUUAAAAUUUAGUAAAACACUCUACCUCGCAGUUACAUCAACAUUCUUAGUUGUGGUGUCGUGGUAACCUACUCUUUUGUGCCUCGAGAGGUAGCUGGUUGGAGUUGCCUUCUUGCCCUUUUUUUUGUUCAUUUCUCAGAACUGGUAAGUAAGAAAAGUAAAAAUAAUAAUGACCCAAAGAGUCGUACUCGCAACCUCAAACCUCUUAGCACGCACUCCCUCCGUUUCAAAAUAGAUGACUCAACUUUGUACUAACUUUACACUAGUAGAAAACAGGCAUUUGUCCCGGUUCGUAAGGGCCUUUUGUCCCGGUUUAAGAACCGGGACAAAAAGGUCGGUACUAAUGCCCUCCCCCUUUAGUCCCGGUUCUUACACGAACCGGGACAGAUGUGCCUCCACGUGGCCACUGCGGGCAGCCCAGACAAGGGGGCCUUUGGUCCCGGUUGGUGACAUGAACCGGGACCAAAAGGCUUCCACGCGUCAGCAGCUGGCUAGAGCUGAGGUUUUUCUUUUUAAAAAAAAAAAGUGGCUGGUUUAGGGGUUUUGGGGUUAAUUUAGGUUGUUAUUAGCUAGCUAAUAGGGAGAAGUGUCCUCUCUUAUAUCUUCGUCCUUGGUUUACCAACGCUACUGCUAUGUUCAUUUCACCCGCUGAUAUAUAAUAACUCAUGCUCGCAUCAUACAUCAUCAUAUAUAAUAACAAGUCCUACUAAUCAUGCAUCAUCAUACAACUUCUACUUAGUAUUAAUAAUAAGUCAUACGAUCAUCAUCCUCAUAGUCAUCGAACCCAACCCUACAUAAUUGUUCUUAGCACAUGAUCAUCAGUGUCAGGUAGGACCUAAACACCCUUAAGGUAAAAUAGCAUAAAACAAUAUAGACCCUGACUCUCCAUUAUGGAGAAUGGGGAUCAUCCUGUCUUCAAUUAUUGCGCUUCACUUCCUUUUGCUUUCAAGAAGCUCCUUACGACUGUCCAUACAUUUUUUCCAUUCUUUGAUUGUCAUGUCUCCACUUCUUUUAGAAAUCCGGUAUGGACAGUUGAGAUUCGUAGGACGACUUGGUUGUAUGUUCAAAACAUCAAGGCGACCGUGCACAUACAUCAGAUGAGGCACACAAUCAUUCAGGAUUAUCUGCUAAAAAACAUAGUAAUAACUUCAUAGUUAGCAAUGAUGUACUAGUUUUAGAAGUAUGCAAAAAGAUGCACGGAUGUCGUAAUAGUAAAAAAUCUUACCAGGGUAUCUCCAUGGUAGUUACCGUAGUUCACAUGUACACUAGUGGCACGUAUUGACCAUAAUGUUGAGGAGUUCGAUUGUAGAUAUUGUAAUUCUCAAGAUCAGUACAAAACGCGAUCAGAUGAUUUUUCUCCUUAUAAGUUAAUUCAGAGCCAUCGGUGUAGUGGGUUUUGUCUACCAUCUUCCGCAAAUUCUUUGAAGAAUGAAAAUAAGCUGUCAAUGGAAAUAAGCUGUCAACUAUUUCGAAAUAAACAAUAUAAAUUACUUAAUUACUAUGUUUGAGAAGCUCACAUAGGGGGAGAAUUGGAAGUGUAUCCACAAGAACCCAAAUGUCCAUUUUGUCUUGCUCGAUUGAAGGAUGUCGUGGCUCAUCUGUGGCCGGAAAGGCCCAAACCAGAUAGUUAUUUUGGCUUAGUGCAGCAAUUCCUUGAUGCGGUGCCGCAUAUCAAGGUGAUGAAGCGGUCGGCAUGCAUAGAGGGUGCACGGAUGGCUCUCGCCCGUGUCAAAACAUGCUGGGCAGAGAUGGAUGCCGCCAACGUUGCAUCCCGGGAUUCGGACAGAAGCCGAUUACCCGCCGAGCACUAUUUUGAGGAAGUCCUGCAGGGCGCUCGUUUAAUAGAGUCGCAGUGCUCGAAAAACGUUAUGUUCAAAUGACAUGUAUGAUUUAUGAGACCAUGUUUAUAAUACAAGAGCUUUUUAUACUUGUGCGUUCAAGUAUUGAAAUAUCUCCUGUGCGGCCAUUAAUGUAUAUGUAUAUAUAACCUGAAAGAUGGCCGUCUUCGGCUUCAGCCCCCACGCACAUGGUGCGGGGGUGUUUGCAAAAAAGCGCAUUUUCACACUUAAUCCAACGUCUUGGUCCUGUGAAGGAGGUGGUAGCGUAUCAAACUAGGCAACCAGACUAUAAUGCUUUAUCACUUUCACUUAGCCAUAGGAGUUCGAAGGUGAGGCUACGAUAUAGCCCCUAGGGGCACCGCGCUCUCCAAAUUCGGGGCGCGUGUGUGCCUGACCGGGAAACGGUCCUUCGUCAAAGCGGAGGAAUUCUAGACAUUCCGGUAGUCGAUCGAGUGGUUGACCAGUCUUUCACUGUAUCAUGACAGUCAGUUUUCGGCUUUCUCUACUGAGGUGCUCACCAGGCCGAACCAGGGCACAAUCGCAGUAGUUCUCCUGGUGCCGCGUUAGCCGAUAAAACGGAACGUAAGGCAGGAAAACACAGGAGCCGGGCAAACCCAACAUUUGACCAAAGACAUGAUUCGGAGCUGAUGCAUAUAAGGCCUAACUCGAGACGCCGAACACUCGCUAAGGUAUUCGGUCUUUAUGAAAACGGGCAGAACGAUGCCCUAAGCCCUUAGUGUCCAGGUACACGCGAAAUCUUCUGACGCGGCCGAUGCCAAAACGCCAGCCUCCUCCUUGGUUAUGGUAAGAAACCGGGGGAUGUGUAUCAACAAGAGACAGUAAAAAAGGUUUACGCAGGGUCUUAAUCUGAAAAGAAUCCGUGCAACGGGUCCCUGUUGCACGUCUGCGCCUGUGUCUCAGUUGUGCUGUAUCCUGGACGGGUGUAGCACGUUGCUCAUCUGUAAAAGAGAAGAACUUAGUUUGAAAAAAGAUCGUGCGAAAAAUGUAUAUAAAAAAGAGUAUGAUGUAAGAAAUGAAUAAAAUUGAGAUUUAUUGGCUCUCAUUCUUCGUUCGUGCAGCCCCUUGUAAAGGGGUACGCGGCUAGGAAGCCCCUUGUUUAUUUAUACCGGACUCGCCUAAUCGUGUCCGAGGUCUGAAUGACCUGUUUUAGGGGCUUUCAUCAGCAAGGCCGGAUUAGUGUGUGGCUGUCAAGACAGUCUCACGUUCUUCCGUGGUCGAGGAACACUCGAAAUUACCCUUUAAUGAGAUGAUGCCGCGUGGACCAGGCAUUUUAAGUGUAAGAGACGCGUAAUGCGGUAUUGCGUUAAAGCGGGCGAAAGCUUCGCGUCCCAAUAGUGCUUGAUGGCUACUUUUAAAUGGGGCGAUAUGGAAGAUUAGCUUUUCGCGACGGAAGUUGUCGGAUGAUCCGAACACAACUUGUAGUAGUAAGGAGCCCGUACAAUUGGCGUAAGGACCUGGCGUCACUCCUUUAAAGGAAGUGCUGCUAUGGAGAAUUUUGGUGGGGUCUAUCCCCAUUCUGCGGAUGGUGUCCUGGUAUAGCAGGUUUAUAUUACUGCCACCAUCCAUUAGGACUUGUGUAAAUUGUAGUCCGUCAAUUAUAGGAUCCAAUAUCAAAGCAGUCCAUCCUACGUUUCGAAUACUUCUGGAGUAAUCCUGAUGGUCGAAAGUAAUUGGUUUUGACAUCCAGUUUCGGGACUCUGCUGGGGUGGACCGUGCGGCGCGUACUUUAGUAGGUGCCGCCCUAUUUUUACUUGUUAUCACUUGAAGUGAAUUCACUGUUUUGACUUCUUGUGGGAAGUUCUUUUGUUUUCCGGCGCUCUGCUUGUGGGGUUCGUCAUCGUCCUCGCUUGGUGUGUCGAGCCCCUUGUGUUCGGCGUUAAGUCGGCCGGACUGCUUGAAGACCCAAUAAUCUCUGUGGGUAUGGUUUGCAGGCUUCCCGGGGGUACUGUGGAUUUGACAUAUCAUAUCCAAGAUUUUGUUUAGGUUGGAUAGCUCGUCACUGUUGUCUUUAAGAGGCAGUGUUUUGCUGUUCGGACGAGAGCUUUUGAACCCGGCGUUGACUGCCGUGCUCUUUAGGCCAUUUUCCUUAGUCCGGCCUGAUCUUUUCUGCGUCGUGAUUUCCUAUUUCCAUCCCUGACUUCGGAUGUACUCAGGUCGCUGGUGCUGCAUCUUGCCAGCCAUCUAUCUUCUCCCGCGCAAAAGCGGGUCAUGAGGCUUGUUAGCGCGGCCAUUGUCCUUGGCUUUUCCUGGUCGAGGUGUCUGGCGAGCCAUUCGUCUCGGACGUUAUGUUUAAAGGCUGCUAAGGCUUCGGCGUCCGGACAGUCGACUAUUUGGUUCUUUUUGGUGAGAAACCUGUUCCAGAAUUUGCGGGCUGACUCUCCGGGUUGUUGAGUUAUGUGACUUAAAUCGUCUGCAUCUGGAGGCCGGACAUAAGUCCCCUGAAAAUUUGCCCGGAACGCAUCCUCGAGCUCCUCCCAACUUCCAAUUGUAUUUUCUGGGAGGCUUUUGAGCCAAUGCCGGGCUGGCCCUUUGAGCUUGAGGGGUAGGUAUUUUAUGGCAUGGAGAUCAUCUCCUCUAGCCAUAUGUAUGUGUAGGAUAUAAUCCUCAAUCCAGACUCCGGGGUCUGUUGUUCCGUCGUAUGCCUCUAUGUUUACGGGCUUGAAUCUCGCUGGAAAUUCAUGAUCCAGUACCUCAUCGGUGAAACAUAGGGGGUGUGUGGCGCCCCUGUAUUUAGGUGUACCGUUAUUUUCAAACACUCGACGUGUUGUGUUGCUCCCUGGAGCCUUCUUUAUUGGCCCAUAGAUGGACCUGACUGGGCCAUCCUUUUUACGGGGAUCCUUAUGUGGAUCGUGUGCCGGCUUGUGUGCGGCGCCGCUUGCCGCUCUUAGCUUGUCAUCUAGUCGUCUAUCCGACCAGGCGGCCUCUUUGUUUUUUACUGUGGGGGCUCUACGACCUCCUCGUCAAAUUCGGGCAACAGCUUGCGCUUCGGGUAGCUCUUUGCUUGGUGACUAUCACCGUAUUUAUCUGCGGUCUUGAGUACUUUACGUCUUCUGCUGUUUUGAGCUUCCGCUUCUGCUUCUUCAAACUUCUUGCAGUGGCGACGAGCCUUUUGUGGAGGUCUUUAUGCUCCGGUGAUGUGUCCGGCGUGAGAUCGUCUGGACCGUUGUUUUUGCCGGGGAUGGGUUGCUCGUCCAACUCAUCCUGUUCGGACGGUUGCUUGGUGGCAUGUUUGUCGUCUACUAGUUCGCCCUGCUCUACGGCUGGGUCUGUAUGGGUGCUGUUAUUGUCGAGGCGGAACUUCGGGCGGCGCUUGCGUCACCGUUUUGGCUGUUUUUCGGGGGAAUAAUCCUUCGCCGCGUCACGUUGUUCCUCGUUAUCGCUUCCUUUUGUUGUAUCCACCAUGUAUACAUCGUGAGUUGAGGUGGCUUUCUAGUGCCCUGUGGGCGCUGGUUCUUGGUCGUCUCCGGCAUCGUCGUCCAUACCAUCGUUGUCUUCGGAGUCGAAAUCUAGCAUGUCGGUUAGGUCAUCGAGUGGCUACAAAGUGGGUGGUGGGUGGGCUUUGAAUUUCUUUCUUGUCCGCAUCCCAACCGUCCUGACCGUAGUCCAGCCAGGGCUCCCCUGAUAAUGAGAGAUACUUUAGCGAAUUCAGGAUGUCGCCAAAAGGCGAGUGCUGAAAGAUGUCCGCAGCAGUGAACUCCAUGAUCGGCGCCCAAUCGGAUUCGAUUGGAAGGGGCGCGGGAGGUUCGGAGUCCGGCGAGGAGUCCGGCACCUUGGAGUCACGAGGUUCACGAGGGACAGGGUUGGUAUUCGGCUCCAUCGCCGUAGAGGUAGCAGCCCCCGAGGCGGUGUCUAGCCACUCAUCCUCGAUCGGCGCAGUCGGCUCCAAGUUAAGGGUCGGAGUGGACUCUCGUGCGGCCUCCAGGGCACUGUCCGGCAGCAGAGCUAGAUCAUGCCCAUCGUGACAGUGCGGCGUGCUCGGCUCUGCUCGAGUCCGUCAAAGAUCAAUUCUCCGUGGAUGUCGGCCGUAUAGUUCAAACUUCCAAAUCUGACCUGAUGGCCAGGGGCGUAGCUUCCGAUCUGCUCCAGAUGGCCAAACGAAUUGGCCCGCAGUGCAAAGCCGCCGAAUACGAAGAUCUGUCCGGGGAGAAAAGUCUCACCCUUGGCCGCGUCGUUGUUGAUGAUCGAAGGAGCCAUCGGGCCUAUGAGUGACGACACAGAGGAACUCUCAAUGAAAGCACCAAUGUCGGUGUCAAAACCGACGGAUCUCGGGUAGGGGGUCUCGAACUGUGCGUCUAGGCGGAUGGUAACAGGAGACAAGGGACACGAUGUUUUUACCCAGGUUUGGGCCCUCUCGAUGGAGGUAAAACCCUACUCCUGCUUGAUUGAUAUUGAUGAUAUGAGUAGUACAAGAGUGGAUCUACCACGAUAUCAAGGAGGCUAAACCCUAGAAGCUAGCCUAUGGAAUGAUUGUUGUUCGUCCUAUGGACUAAAACCCUCCGGUUUAUAUAGACACCGGAGAGGGCUAGGGUUACACAGAGUCGGUUACAAUGGUAGGAGAUCUACAUAUCCGUAUUGCCAAGCUUGCCUUCCACGCCAAGGAAAGUCCCAUCCGGACACGGGACGAAGUCUUCAAUCUUGUAUCAUCAUAGUCUUGGAGUCCGGCCGAUGAUGAUAGUUCGGCUAUCCGGACACCCCCUAGUCCAGGACUCCCUCAGGUACGUAGACAUACUCUCCCCCUCGUUGCUAUGCAUCUCUAUGGAUAGAUCAUUGCGUGUGCUUAGAAUUUUUUUUGCUUUCCCAUGCAAUGAUUCCCAACAAUGGGAGAGGAAUGGCACCCUCACUCGGUGUUGCAUCCUCCUGAUGAUGGUUCGGAAAACUUGACGCUGCUGCAGGUGGGAGGACAAGAUGGUGGUGGCUAGAGGGAGAUGAAUGGCGUUGCUAUGGUUGUUGCAUCCUUCGUCGGGAGAAGAAUGGCCGGCAGGAGUUGCAUCCUCAAGGAGACGAAUGGCGUCGUGCUUGGUUGCAUCCUUCUGAUGGGAUAAGAACGGCGCCGCUGCGGGUUGCAUCCUCCGCCCAGUGGAGGACGCGGAUGCAAGGUUAGAAGCAUGUUGAGCUUGCCGGGGAUGCGUGGAUUGCUGUGGAGGCAGGGGUAGUGGCCUGUUGUGUAGGCUGAUCGGAUCCAGGGCUCAAACUGUGUAGGUGAGAUGGUCGACGAAAGUGGUACUCCGGUUGUGGCCGGAGUAGUCGAUGGCGCCUUCUGGCGUCGCUCCCUCGCUAGAGGCGUCGAUGUAGCUGCUCCCACCUUACCUUUCCUGCCGUGCUUCGGGGGAAACCCUCGAUCUAGUUUAGACCAUACGAUGACGGCGCUAUCCGGCGUCACGUUCCUCUUGGGGGCAUUGUCCUGGAGGUGGAUCCGGUCAGAGGGAUCUCUGGGUCGUGUGGAUGUGUGUGUGUUGUUUGCCAAAAGGCGAUGUUUGUAUGGUUUUGGGUCUGGUUUUCCUCAUAAACUGGACCAAUCUUCUUCUCCUGUUCAAUGAAUUUAGCAGUAAUGCUAACAUUAAAAAAAUACACGAGAUAGAGGAGGAUUGGGAUCUUAUACACCUCGUAUUUCUGUAUGGUUAUUGUUUUUACAUAUAAGUUGUGUGCAUAGUCUAAAUCAGGGGACAUAAGAAAUAAUGUGGAUGUUCAAACGAUUAGCUAGUACAUCUAUGUUUGCUUGAAGGAUGUAACGCGUAAUUGCCUGCUGAUGCCAAAUGGUAUAACAAAUUUGCACUCUAGUGAAUUUUGAAUACAAAUCCUAUUUCCUAGAGUGCAAAACUGCACAUGCAUCACAUACAUUGCAACACGUGCAUGAAUAAAAGGGGAUGUAUCUAGAAUAAAAGGGGAUGUAUCUAGAUGUAUAGAUAUAUCCUCUUUUAUUCAUUUUGAUGACAAGUAUUUCCAGACGGAGGGAGUAUAUUUAUAUAAUUAACCACUAGCAAGUAGGAACACAUCCGCUAGAGUCGUGCUAUGCACAGGACAAAUUUUGAACGAUUCACACACGAAGAUUGAAUACUGCUGGACAUGCAUAUGAGUGAGAAGGGCACUAGCCGCUGGAUUUGCAUGUUGUGCACAACUCGGGCACAAGUAUCGUUUGUGGAGCAGUUUCACAUUAGCUAAUGGCGCAUCAUACUAGUCCACGUUUAAACAGGGCAACCCUACAAAAUUGGUGUGCUACAUAUAUAAGACUUACAUACACAACAGUAGCAUGCAUUAUCCAAAAGAGCAACAUCCUAGUGUAAUCCUCCAGGGCGGGGAGCCUCUGCUCAUCGUCAUAGCCAUACAUGAUGCUGACCAUCCUUGCAAAGUUGAGAGACGCCCCGAUGAAGCUAGGUGGUAGUGUGGACUUUGUCUGAGAGAAGCAUUCCCUGUUUAGAUCCUCCCAUUCACCCGCUAUCAUAUCCAACAUGUGCUUCUCCGCAUCAGCAUGAGGGUUUUCUCUCUGGUACAAAUCCUUGUAUGAUCCGUCGAGCCCUUCCUGCAACUCAUCCUGCAUGGGACACAUAAUUUCUUUUUAGAUCAUGCCUAAUAUUGUCAAUGUCAACUUGAAUGCACACCCAGCAGGAUAUGGUAUGAAAUAACUCAUGUAAAUAAUUAGUAUUACUAAUCACAUAGUCGUGCGAUAAAUUUCUCGGUGUGUUCUGACCUUCGCACUCCCCAUGUUAUCCCAGAGCCUCAUGAUCUUUGCAGGGCAGGAGAUGACCCUAAGGAUGUGGUCGUUGUUGUCCUCUGUUAAAUCAUGCCCAAGCAUGAAUAAAAGAUGCAUAAAUAAAAGUGGUGCUCCCGAAGUGAUGACACCAUUUCUUAGGUAGUCCUCCGAUGUAGGAACCUGAUUAGUAGAUAGCCAUUUUCCCUCGAUCAUGAAUCCAUCAAACAAAGUUGCCCACUGCAAGACAAAAGGCAUGAAUGUAAUAUUAAUUCUUCCAUUGUUAUUUUCUUAUAUUUUAUUUCAUUACAAUUAAUCACAAAUUAUAUAGUACACAUAAAUACGUGAGGUGGUACUUUUAAUAUAUUUAUUAGUUGCUUAGACAAAUGAAACUAAAGAAAAUGAAAAAACAUUCGAGUAGACAUACUGCUUGCUUGAGAUGAUUGAUAGGAUUCAGUCCACGCUCUUUUAUGACCAUAUCAGCGAUAUCAUUUGUGAUGGUGUAAAGAGCCUUGUAACAUGAUAUCAUGUAACUCGGCAGUGACUCAGCAGCUGCAAGAUAAUAUGCACUUUGCGCGUGAAACUUUUGUAAUAAUUUUUUUAUAUUAUGUGUUCAUGUAUAAGAUCGUGACUAACCAAUGAGUUUGAUUAUACCAUUAGCAAAAAUAUGCCAUUCUGGGUAUAAGCAGCCUUGAGUAUGCAAUGAUUUCUCUUUUUGUAUGAAUGAUUAUAAAGCUAUUAGUAUAUCAAGAUAUUUCUCGCAGAGGCCUAAUGUUUAUGUCAAACCAAUCCUAAUACCUCUUUAUACAUGAUGUGUCAAAAUUAUAGAAUUUUUAGUGUGCAAUUAGACAUAUCUAAGAUGUCAUUCAUUUACAAACAAAUGUAAUUAUACUUCAUUCCUAAAAUUCAAUGUUGUUGUUAUUACGGGAACAUCAAUGCUCACAUUUUGAUUGCCUCAUUAAAGAGAGAGAGAGCUCCUCCUGUGUGGCGACAAGAUCAAAGAUGUCAUCCACAAUGUAGACCAUUGAGAUAACCUUUGUGGCAUCAACCCGAUAUCUUGAGAAGGAGAAACCCUCGAGGAUAGUCAUGGACCACAUGUACCAUUUCAGAACUUGGUCCCUUGCAGCUGGAAUUUCUUGAGACAAUCCCAAAUCCACCCACCAUCUGUGUCAAAAUGAAGUUUUCAUAGUAAAAAACCACCACACCGUUAAUUGUGCCAAUACAUGAGCAAAAAAAUAUGUUAAUCUAUUAAUUCCAUGUGAGUUCUCUCUUAUCAAUAUGCAGGUGGGCCAAUGUCCGCAACAACUAAUAAUGGAAGGAGUGUAUUUUAUUAUAUUCAUACCUCUUAACCUCUUGCAUUCCACUUUGAUGUUGCAACUUCUUCAUCUGAAAUUCUACAAGUGCUAGCUUCUCAAUUGCAGUGUGCAUGGUAGGCAAGUUCUGGAGGUAACUCAAAUGAUGCCUAGCCUUGUAUUGCUUCAGGCUCACAUGGUAGGGAUGGUCUAGUGACUUCAUCACAUAUCUCGCAAGGUUUGGCUCCAAAUACUUAAGUGAAAAUUUCAGGUGCUUGCUUGAGAAUUCCUUUGCCUUGUAGAGUGAAGCUUCUCCCAUGUUGAGGUGUGACAUGUCAUGCAAGCUCAGCAACCCUCUAAGGUCUUUGCUAUGCCUAAGGUUGAAAUCACCAUUAUCAUUUGUGAACUUCUGAAGAACAUCGUCUUCCAUACACCACAAGAAGGGGUCUUAGGUGCAUGUCAUACAUAAUGAAAAUAAUACGUCUCAUAAGAGGUGCUUCUAUGCUACACACGGGACUGUUCUUUUUUAUUAUUAAACUUGGUUACUCUAAGGCUAAUUUAUUAUUAGCAAAAUUAUCACAUAAAAUCACCAUUGACAAAAUUGCACUCAAGUUUCCAAACUGGUGUGUUUAUCUAACCCAACACACUAAACUAGUAUUUUACUGACCUGCCGAAACAUAAUAUCCAACUUCUCUCAUCAGCCUUAAGGAAAGGGUUGCGUCAAGUAGAUCAUCACCAUGGAGGAGAUCCACAGACGACUCCAUUAUGUUAUCGAUUUCAUCCUGGAAAUAGUGGUCAAUGCAGAGGCGUUUGAGGUGAUCAACCGUGCUCAACAUUCCUUUGUUGCUUUUCGGAUGUUGAUGAAGCAACGCUUGAACAUUCAAUAGGCUUUCCCGGUAUUGCACAUAGAGCAAACUUCUUUUUAAAAAGAACAAAGUCUAGAUAAGUGCAAUAUAUAUCAUAUAUUAUUUGCAUUCAACAAUUGGCGAUAUCAUAGGAAAAUAGUGCAUCUAAUGUAGGUUUAUAUUUUAUUAACAUAGUUGAGAAAUUAACAAUAAAAGAUAGAGAUUGAAAUUGUGCUCAUUCCAGAAACAUCAUAAAUUAUUUAAUGAAACACACAUUUUCUAUGCCUCGCUGGUUCCUGAAGAGGAGUCAUUAUUCAAAGUUAUCUUGAAAAGGCAAUCCAUGAAUUGCUAGACUGUGGUUAUAAGAUUCUUGAGGAAGGAUUAAAUUUUUGACUCGAUUUAUACGACAUCAAUUUAGGGACGGAGACAGUAUAAUUAGCUGGAAAAAGGCACACAAACAUGCUAAUUGCAUUCAAAGUACAUUCUAAUGUUGCGGUCUAUAUACCUGGAAGUAUGUUUGUACCGUAAAAAUAUAUACCUGGAAGUCAAAAUCAUCGGACAGCUCAUGGGACACAGGCUCCCGCCCGGGAUAUAUCACCGGCGAAGGGCGAAAGAAGCCACUGUUUCGGCCACUCUGGCCACCACUUCUGGCCACCGGCAAAGCCGAAUGGAGCAAUGGCGCGAAGGAGGAGAAGGAGAAGCAUGCAUGCGCAGCAGCCAUCACUAGCCGACUAGCGUACUUAAAUAAUGUGAUGUGUGUUACAGCUGAUCGACUAGGCAGGCUACCUAAUUAAUUAGGUAACUAACUAGCAUGGAUGAUAUGGGAUGAACAAGAGUACGUAGCAGGCUGCUGCUUCUGCUAUGUCUUGGGAUGGAUGGGGGAUAUGAGCAAUGCAUGCAUGCCCUCCAGAUUUAUAGAGGAGACGAGGUUGAGCAAUGCCGCGUCGAUCCUCCACCGAGUGGCGAGCCAUGUGGAAAAUUUACUACUAAACGUCAUGCAUGCGCUAAUCAAGUUUAGUUUUUCGUCUAGGGCUAGUGCACCAUGCAUUCUUUGUUUGGAGAGUGAACCAUGCAUGCACCACGCACCAUGCACCUUGCUCUGCACUCUGAUGUCUAGUCUGGUCGUCGUUAGGAGACAAAUACCGCGACAUCGUUCGUGCACACGGUUUCUCCCUGCACUGCACCCACAAGAGCCACACACGUAAGUAGUACUACUCUAUAUAGCUAUAUUUGUACGUCCAGCCACGUGAACGUCCAGCCACACACGUAAGUACUCUGACACCUGGACAAAAGGGUCUAGGUAGUAGAGGGGGCCAUCGAAAGGUCUCCAGAUUGACCAGUUUUCCAACGGUUGCUGCCUGUCAAGCUCACGACAAUGUAAGUAUGACAUGCAUGCACAGUAGCUAGCUACUAAUAGAGCGGUCAAAAAACAUUUACCCCACCUCCACACCCCCAAAAUGUAAAGUGUGUGUACAAUACAACGACUGGUACAGCUUCCAUUGUCUCGUGUGUAAGUGACGCUUUCUCGAAUUCUUGGGUUAAAUUGUUACUUUUGGUUGUUACAUACAAACGCACUGUUCAGCAACGUAACAUUGAUGUUGAACGGAAGAUAAGCGUGAAAAAUAGAAAAAGGGACAGAAAGGAUGGAGUCUUCACGGAGACUGGUGGCCCCGCAAUGAGUCAAAGCUCUAGAUUCAGUGUAUCUCUCAGCACCUAAAAGAAAGUUUUUAUUCAACACGAAACUGUAUUUCUAGACAUUUAUCGACCUGAAGUUAGCUUUCUUACAAAUUUAGAAAAACACUCAGUUAUGUCCAUGUCAGCCGCAAAAAAAUUAUACUGUUGAUGCAUCUUUUACGUUAUUUCUCUUAGAAAGCAGCCUAUAGGUAUAUAUAGAAGACAACCUACGUACUACUGAACCACUGCUGCCAUUAUCAACUUUGACCCCCAGCUGAACCAUGCAUGCACAGUAGCUAGCUACUAAUAGAGCGGUCAAAAAACAUUUACCCCCCAGAAUGUAACAUGUGGGUGUACAACGACUGGUACAGCUGGCAUUGUCUCGUGUGUAAGUGGUGCUUUCUCGAAUUCUUGGGUCAAAUUGUUAUUAUUUACUUUUGGUUUGUUACAUAGAAAGAGCACUGUUCAUCCACGUAAAAUUGAUGUUGAACAGAAGAUAGACGGGAAAACUAGAGAAAGGGACAGAAAUGGCGGAGUAUUCGCGGAGACUCAUGACCCAAAUGCGUCAAUGGCCCGGUGAAUCCCUCAGCACUGCUUCAUUACCAACCUACAGAAGGGUCUUUUUUUUAGAAGAGAGGCGUCACGCCUACAAAAGGGAUUGAUCAGCCCACUUAAGUGAAUAUACCACUUCACAACCUAAAAAAUAAAGAUUUUCUUCGACGUGAAUUCAUAUUUCUAGCUAUUUAUCGAUCUGUAUGUAGCUUUCUUACAGUCUUAGAAAAACACUUAAUUAUGUUUAUGCUGUCCAUGUCACCCGCAAAAAUGUUAUACCGUUGAUGCAUCUUUUAACAGUCUUUCUCUUAGAAAGCAGCUUAUAGCUAGAAGACAUCCAGGUGGGUAGUAUUUCACGCUCUCUCAACAUUAUGAAAUAGUGGUACAAAUAUAGCACCAAGUUACACCACAAAAAGUCACCAUCGAUAUCUGGUAGGAGCAUGCCACCAAAACAAAGAGAAUCUCGUAUCAACGAGAGAUUUUCCAUAUCUGAGGAAACAAACAUGUAGAGGAGAGUGACCUUUCACUACGAGGAAACAAACACUAGUAGGUUCAUGCUAUUCGGUACUAACAUUAACGACGAAGAAUAAAUUGUUACUUUUCCACACCUUUUCUACUUAUACGUCAUUGCAUACGUUGGAAGUCAAAAAGAACAUAAGAAAACGUGUAGUAUAAACUGAUAAAAUUGUAUACGUGGCAUAAAACUGCAAACGUAAAAAUAUGACAUAAAAUAUAAAUAUAGACAUUUUUUUGUGGUUUUACAUGGUUAUGACUUGUAUCUUGCAUUUCUGAUGCCGAUUUUUCAUCAGGGGUCAGGAUUUAUGUAACUAUUUGUAUAUUCUAUAUUUCUGAUGCCGAUUUUUCGUCAGGGGUCAGGAUUUAUGUAACUAUUUGUAUAUUCUAAAUGCAAUGACGUACCAAAAUCAUGGUUCGAAAGUAACGUAUUCCGGACCCUAGGCACUGAACAGCAUUUGGUGUGCGUAUGCGUUUGCUGCUAUAUUUUGUAUCAGUUGAUGGUGAUCAUGGGAUAAUGUGGAACUUGACCCUAAGAAACUUGAGUGGCUUACUAGGGAAUUUAUGUCCAGAUUUGGAUUGUGUGCUGUCAGUAGACUUCAUACUGCUGAAAUCUUCUCAUUGUAGCCUGUCACACUUUUAUAAUCUGGCUACAUUUUUUGUGACCAUACAUAUUAAGUUUGUGAUAAGUGCGUUGGUUAUAUACAUUCUUGAUACGGAGAGCGGAGAUGAUAAGAACUUCCUUCUAGAAUUAUAUAUCAUGGGGUCGCUAGCUAGAUGGUCCGAACGGAUAUUUCCCAGAAACCACAAAUGUACACGACAUUGACAUCGAGUGAUGUUUUUACUUUCUAGCUAUUGACAAGCUGGCAAUGCACUUGUGGAUCUCAAGUUGUCGUCUCACGUACAGACAUGAGAGACCGUGUGAUGAAGUAUCGUGACAUAUAUACAUGUAUGGUCGUCAUGCAUGAAGUAUCCGACUAGCUAUGUACUACGUGUGAAAAGUAUUAUUUGGCUGGACACAACAAGAGUCGCUGCCUCAGCUAUGUUGCUGUCUGGAGAGCCUGUUGGUUCAACGAAUUACUUCUGAGAUUGGCUGCAGUUCGGUCAGUGACCUAGCUAUCAUCACGUACAGGCUCACCCGAGUCCCUGGAUUCAUCAAAACUUUUGGCCAUCUCCGCCUAGCUGGGCCCCAAGAUGAAGCUCCGCCCUCUGGGGCCGGCUGGCUCAGCGGCCGGUUGCCAGAGGGCGGCCGUCCCAAGACUGCAGCGCUCCGGGUGGCCGGCUCCUAGCGGCCGCCCUCCAGAGAGGGCGGUAACAGGCAAGCAGCCACCACACGACUACGGGGCGACCGAGCUCCCAUCAAGAGUACAAGACGAAGCAUGGCUACAGUGAGGAACGACGCCUCCCACGCUCGAGACGGGCGUGGCUACAGUGCUCCGUACAGACGGAGAUCUCCGCACGACGGAGCACUGUGCCGUAUCUACCCUGACGUCGCUCCGGGCAGGCGGAGCCCUGUUCACCACGACGGCCUGUCGGUACGGCAGGCCAGAGGCGGGCCCUAUCGGGCAGUGACCCCAGGGAAGACGGCGGAAGCUCAACCAGGCGGAUUAGAGAGGGGCCAGCCUCCAGCAGGCGGCCGUCCCUUGUCCCGAGACGAGCACGCCAUUAAGCUGAUAAGACCAGGUGUGGCUACAGUGUCCUCCCACCAGGCGGCGGGACUGUAGCCACGCUAGGAUGACCAAGCCCCCACCGCCAACGACACGGCUACAGCGAGCAGCCGCCAAUCAGUCGGUGGGGCCCACCAGGCGGCGGGCCCCAGCGGUCGACGGAGAAGCCGGAGGCUGGAGACACUGACAGCCGGGCCCAGCGGCCGGCGAGGUUACCAUUGUACCCCUGGGGGGUAGGCCUAUAUAAACCCCCCAGGCCACCCAUGCAAAGGGUUCCCACACCAUUAGAACUAGCCACCCCCUAGUGCAGGAAGAGAGCUAGCCUUGCCACCUUCUGCGUCUAGCAUACAGCUCGAGGAGCACCAUUGUAUCACUUGUGCCUUAGUGAUCAUGCGGAGACCUCGCAGAGUAGGACUAGGGGUGUUAUCUCCUAGGAGAGCCCCGAACCUGGGUAAAGUACGCCGGCGUUCGUGUCUACGCCUUAUCCCGCUUCCAGGCACCGGCGACGUUCUACUCGCUUCCACCAUGAUAAGCCAUCCAUUGGCAUAUGUCGCACCCAACCCCCGACACCUCAACCACUUCGAGAAAAUUAUGCACGCCCUUAAUGUACUCGGAGGUGUGUCUAUCACCAUACAUCCAUUGCCGGUUCAUCUGCGUGCAUUAUAUAUAAUUAUGUGUGUCAAAAGUAAGAAAAUCAGACAAAUAUCUACCUAAAGUAAGAAAAUCAGACAAGUAUCAGAAAGAAGAUAAGAACAAGAGACUCCCCACUGUGGUGCCGGCGACGAGAUCGGCGCGGGCGAUCAACGGCGGUGAAAACGGGGACGGGGCGUGACGAACCGCUAAAUCUAGACAAAUCUCGAAAAAAAUGAAGCUCCGAGGUCGAUCUUCGAGAGGAGAAAGCUUAACUAGUGUGGCUCGGGCAUUUCAUCGAACACCUCAUGUGCAUAGGAGGUGAACUAGAGCACCAAAAUGCCCUCUCAUCGCCGGAUUGAAAAAACAUAGCACUGGAGUGCUCUGCCGCGGCGGUGGGUAUAUAUAGGCAAGUUAUUUGUCCUGGUUCAUGGCAUGAACCGGGACUAAAGCACCCCCUUCUGUCCCGGUUCAAGCCAUGAACCGGGACCAAUGGUUGUGGGCCAGGAGCGAGGACCAUUGGUCCCGGUUCGUGGCUUGAACCGGGACAAAUGGUUCCACACGAACCGGGACCAAUACCCACGAGGCCCCGGCCGUCCCCCUGGGCUCACGAACCGGGUCUAAUACCCCCCAUGGGUCCGAACGGUAGCCUUGUUUUCUACUAGUGUUAGUACAAAGUUAAUAGAAAGUUGGGUCAUCUAUUUCGAAACGGAGGGACUAGUAGACUUUCCACUGAGCUGAUACCGCUUUUAUGAUUGAUAUUCGUUCAAGUUAUUUCAAUAUCUAGUUUAGAAGAAUUUGAAUUCAAAAUUCAAUUGAAUUUGUUCAAAAUAUGUUUGGUAUUUCUCGGUAACCGUGGUAAUCGAGAGUAUUGCCCCCCACGAGAAAAUUUGUCCAUUCGGAAUCCAAAACCUUGGUUAUGACUUGUAUCUUGCGUUUCUGAUGCUGAUUUUUCGUUGUGAGUCUGCUUGUAUGUAAAUAUUUGUAUAUUCGAAAUGCAAGGACAUAAUAAAACCAUGGUUUGAAAAUAACUUAAUCUACACCCUACACUGUGAAAUACAUUUUGCGUGCAUGUGUGUUUGCUACUAUUCUGUAUCAGUUGACACAUUGCCCCAAGAAACUCAAGUGGCUUACUAGGGAAUUUAUGUUCUGGUUUGGGUUCCGUGCUGCCAGUGGACUUCAUACUGCUAUAUCUUCUCAGUGUAGCCUGCCCCACUUCUAUAAUCUGGUUACAUUUGUUGUGACCGUACGUAUUAAGUUUUGUGAUAAGUGCGUUGGUUAUAUAUAUAUGCAUCCUUGAUACGGAGAGCGGAGACGAAAAGAACUUCCUUCUAGAGAAACAUAUAUAUCAUGGGGUCGCUAUCUAGAUGGUCCGAAGGGAUAUUUCCCGGAAAACACAAAUGUUCUGCAUGACAUUGACAUCCAAUGAUAUUUUUACUUUUUAGCUAUUCGCUAGCUGGCACUGCACUUGUGGAUCUCGUACAUUUAUUCGAUGGUUGUCGUCUCACGUACAGACAUGAGAGACCGUGUGUGGUGAAGUAUCGUGAUAUAUAUACAUGUAUGGUCGUCAUGCAUGAAGUAUGCGACUAGCUAUGUACUACGUGUGAAAAGUAUUAUUUGGCUGGACACAACAAGAGACGCUGCCUCAGCUAUGUUGCUGUCUGGAGAGCCUGUUGGUUCAACGAAUUACUUCUGAGAUUGGCUGCAGUUCGGUCAGUGACCUAGCUAUCAUCCCUUAGACUGGCUGGAGUGGAGCCAUAUUCAAGCUUACUCUAGAAGCAAAAGCGCAUUUCGCUGCACCGUCUGUGUUCUGAUUGAUUGUACACUUGUUUUACUUUGGGCCUCUGAAUCUCCUCUGGUUUCACCUUUGUGAGUCAAAGAAAUUUCCUGUGGCGAAUUUAUAUUGCAUGAGAGAGUUUUUCUAGUGCACCAUCCAUUCUUUGUUUGGAGAGUGAACCAUGCAUGCAUAAACCUGGGAAUAGUUUGUAAUCCAAACUAAACCCAGGCCAACCAAUACAUGUAUAAGUCCAGCGAUCCAUCCAAACCAGACCAAAUUGCAAAUGCUACAAUCCAAACCAAUCCAAACUGAAUGUAUUUUCAAGCCAAAUCCAUCCAGACCUUUCUCUACGUUUAAUUUGAACCCAAAGUUUCAAACCAUGGGUCAGUCAACAACAACUGGAACAACCCCAAACUUAACCUGUAUGUACAGAACUACGAAAGGUGUGAGGCUCCUACCAACGGCGGCUAGCUUGGUGUCAGGAGCUUCAGUAUACGUGUGCGUGCACCGUAAGAGCAGAUGGCGGCGCCGGCACGGUGGCCCAUGGCCGGCUGCAGGACCUAUCCGGACGUGUGCAAGACCCUUUGGCUUCCAGAUUCUCAUCGGCUUCGUGACCAUCACCUUCGUCGGCCACAUCGGCAAGGUCGAGCUCACAACCAUCUUCAUGGUGACAGCGUCGUCGAAGGCCUCGUCUUUGAGUUCCUCGUGUUCUGCAUGGAGUUGACUAUUGUCACCAGAGAUCUCGGUGGUGGCGAGGUGGUACGUGCGCUCAUGUCACUCAUCUCAGGCGGCGGUUGCACCUAAACCAAGCGUUGGUCUCACAUUACGCUGACGGUGUGUGGUUAAACGGUCGCUAGACUGGUUUUUAUCCGUGGACUAAAACGGUCUGAGACCAAUUUAUCUCUGUCCAGACCAAACCAACCCAAUCUAUUAAUUACAAAAGUCCACACCAAACUAAAUUACGAUAGAGGCUCAAUCCAUUUCAACCGAACCAAAGCAGCCCAACAGGUAAACCAAAUUGGAACUAUGGUUCGAGACCAAACUAUUCUCAGGUUUAUGCAUGCACCAUGCACCUUGCUCUGAAGACAGAACUCUGAUGUCUAGGUUUCUCCAUGCACUGCACCCACAACUGGCAAGAGCCACACACGUAAGUACUCUAUAUACCUAUAUUUGUACGUCCUGCCAUGUGAACGUCAAGAUCUGACACCUGGAGAAAUUAAAAGGCCAGCGAAAAGUUUGCCGAUUGACCAGUUUUCAAUCGGUUGCUGCCUGUCAAGCUCACGACAAUGUACGCAUGCCACAUAUGUAACCUACUUAUACUGAACCACUGCCGGCAUUACCAACGUGACCCCCAGCUGAACUAUGCAUGCAUAUGUAGUAGCUAGCUACUAAUAAAGCGGUCAAAAACCAUUUACCCCCCUCCCCAAAUGUAAUACUCCCUCCAUUCAUUUUUACUCCACGUAUAAGAUUUUUGUCGAGUCAAACUUUUGAAACUUUGACCAAAUUUGUAUAAAAAUAUAUCAACAUCUACAAUAUCAAAAUAUACAUAAUAUGAAACUACAUUUCAUAAUGAAUCUAAAAAUAUUCCUUUGGCAUUGUAAAUAUUUGAUCCUUUUUUCUAUAAGUUUGGUCAAACUAGAGAUGCUUUAACUUCAGACAAAAGUUAUAUGCAGACUAAAAAAAAGGAGGAAGUAUUUGUGUACAACGACUGGUACAGCUGGCAUUGUCUUGUGUUUAAGUGGCGUUUUCUGGAAUUCUUGGGUCAAAUUGUCAUUAUUUACUUACUUUUGGUUUGUUACAUACAUAGAGUACUGUUCAUCCACGUAAGAUUGAUGUUGUACGGAAGAUAGACCUGAAAAAUAGAAAAAGGGACAGAAAGGAUGGAGUCUUCACGGAAACUGGUGGCUUGGCAACGAGUCAAAGCUCUAGAUCCAGUGUAUCCCUCCGCACUGCUUCAUUACUAGCAACCUACAGAAGGGACUGGUCAGGCUACCUAAGUGAAUAUAUACCAUUUCGCAACCUAAAAAAUAGUUUUUAUUCAACACGAAAUUGUAUUUCUAGCCAUUUAUCGACCUGAAGGUAGCUUUCGUACAUAUUUAAAAAAACACUCAGUUAUGUCCAUGUCACCCGCAAAAAAAUUAUACUGUUGAUGCAUCUUCUCUAUUCUUAUAAAAAAUUAAGUUGGUGAUAAGGGUGUGCCUACCAUCUUGCAAUAUAGACCGUCCGAUCUAUAUCUUACCCGCACCUCUCUCCACAUUUGCAGAUACUUCCCUCGUUCAUCCUUAUCUCUCACAACCUCAUUAUUGAGCAAUUAAAAAAGAAAGCAUCUGAAACAAUCUGGCAUGGCGGCCGCUGCCGGCGUCGUCCAUCCCCAUGCCUCCGCUCAGUCCGACGACCAAUCACCACCAGGCCCCACUCUUCAUCACCUUAUCUCUUCUCUUUCUUGAGAUAUCAUUAGUUUUACACAUGAGAUUAUUCUCACAUAGGACAAGCACAACAGGUGUUUUGUAAAAAAAGCAUCUUCAUGUCCCAUUCAAUGCACGAGCAUCUUGCUAGUUUACAUUAUUUCUCUUAGCAAGCAGCCUAUAUAUAAAAGACAACCUACGUGCUAAACCACUGGUGCCAUUACCAACUUUGACCCCCAGCUGAACCAUGCACGCAAGUGGCAAGCCACUAAUAGAGCGGUCAAAAAACAUUUACCCCCGCCCCCCCUCCCCAAAUGUAACGUGUGUGUACAACGACUGGUACAGCUGGCAUUGUCUCGUGUGUAAGUGGCGCUUUCUGGAAUUCUUGGGUCAAAUUGUUAUCAUUUACUUUUGGUUUGUUACAUACAAGAGCACUGUUCAGCAACGUAAGAUUGCUGUUGAACAGGAGAUAGGAAUAAAACAUACAACUCAAACCAAUCACGAUCAUCAAUCAACCCAUAUGAUAAAACGAAUCUAAUCAAACAUCAUAGGAUGGUCAUACAUCAUUGGGUAAUAAUAUAUAGCAUGAAGUGAUACGUCUCGAACUUAUCUAUAAUUUUUGAUUGUUCCAUGCUAUUAUAGUAUCAAUCUUGGAUGUUUAUUAUGCAAUUAUAUGUAACUAUAUCAUUUUUUGGGACUAACAUAUAAACCUAGUGCCCAGUGCCAAUUGCAAUUUUUUUUCAUGUUUUUAGCUUUUCAGGAAAUCAAUAUUAAAAAGAGUCCAAAUGGAGAAUAUUUUUUUUUGAUUAUGGACCAGAGGGGACCCUAAAAGCUUCGGGAGAAGACUUGACAAGCCACGAGGGUGCGACAAGCUUGGGAGGCGCCCCCAGGCUUGUGGGCCCCUCGUGGCACCUCUUAGCCUAAUUCUAGCACUAUAAAUUCUGAAAUAUCCCCCCUGCAUCAAAGAGUCACCCGAAAUACCUUUUCCGCCGCCGCAAGUAUCGGUUCUCGCGAGAUCCCAUCUAGAGGCCAUCCCCGGGCACUCUGCCGGAGGGGGGAUCGAUCACAGAGGGGCUCUACAUCAACCUUGCCGCUAUUCCGAUGAUGUGUGAGUAGUUAAUCACAGACCUACGGGUCCAUAGCUAGUAGCUAGAUGGCUUCUUCUCUCUCUUUGAUCUUCAAUACAAUGUUCACAUUGAUGUUCUUAGAGAUCUAUUCGAUGUAAUCACUUUUUAUGGUGUGUUUGUUGAGAUCGAAUGAAUUGUGAGUUUAUGAUCAGAUUAUCUACAAGUAUUAUUUGAGUCUUCUCUAAACACUUUUAUGCAUGAUUAUUGUACCUUUAUAUUUCUCUCCGAUCUAUUGAUUUGAUUUUGCCAACUAGAUUGAUUUUUCUUGCAAUGGGAGAGGUGGUUUGCAAUGGGUUCGAUCUUGCGGUGCUCAAUCCCAAUCCCCAUCUCCAAAUGUAACAUGUGUGUACAACCACUAGUACAGCUGGCAUUGUCUCGUGCGUAAGUGGCGCUUUCUGGAAUUCUUGGGUCAAAUUGUUAUUAUUUACUUUUGGUUUGUUACAUACAAGAGCAAUGUUCAGCAACGUAAGAUUGAUGUUGAACGGAAGAUAUACAGAAAAAAUUGGAAAAGGGACAGAAAGGGUGGACUCCUCGUGGAGACUCAUGACUCCACAAUGAGUCAAUGGCUCAAUGCGCUUGAUCCAGUGGAUCCCUCAUCACUGUUUCAUUACCAACCUACGGAAGGUUCUUUUUUCAGAAGAGAGGCGUCACACGUACAGAAGGGAUUGAUCAGCUCACUUAAGUGAAUAUACCAUUUUGCAACCUAAAAAACAAGUUUUCCGUCAACGCAGAUUUUUAUUUCUAGCUAUUUAUCGGUCUGCAUGUAACUUUCUUACAGAUUUAGAAAAACACUCAGUUAUGUUUAGGCUGUCCAUGUCACUCGCAAAAAAAUUAUACUGUCGAUGCACCUUUUGUGGUCUUUCUUGUAGAAAGCAGCCUAUAGAUAGAAGACAUCCACGUGGGUAGUAUUUCAGCUCUCUCGGCAUUAUGAAAUGGUGGCACAAAUAUAGCAUCAAGUUACACGACAAAAAGUUCCCAUCGAUAUCUCAUAAGAGCUUGCCACCAAAAGAAAGAGAAUCCCGUAUCAAUUAGAGAUUUUCCAUAUCCGAGGAAAUAAACAUAGAGAGUGACCUUUUACUAUGAGGAAGCAGACAGCAGUAUGUUCAUGCUAUUCGGUACUAACAUUAACGGCGAGGAAUUAAUUGUUACUUUUCCACACCCUUUCUACUAAUACGUCAUUGCAUACGUUGGAAGUCAAAAAGAACAAAAGAAAAUGCAUUACUAUACACUAAUAAAAUUGUAUACGCAUCCUAAAAUCACAAACGUAAAAAGACAACACAUAAAAUGUAAAUAAUGACAUUUUUUGGUAUGGUUUACAUGGUUAUGACCAAGGUUUUGGGUACUGCCAAAAAAUCUGGAUACCGGGCGGUAUGCGCGUUUCUCGACGCUCCACAAGAAAUACCCAUCCCAAGCAAAAAAGAUAAAAAAUACAUUUUUUAAAAUUUAGUAAAACACUCUACCUCGCAGUUACAUCAACAUUCUUAGUUGUGGUGUCGUGGUAACCUACUCUUUUGUGCCUCGAGAGGUAGCUGGUUGGAGUUGCCUUCUUGCACUUUUUUUUGUUCAUUUCUCAGAACUGGUAAGUAAGAAAAGUAAAAAUAAUAAUGACCCAAAGAGUCGUACUCGCAACCUCAAACCGCUUAGCACGCACUCCCUCCGUUCCAAAAUAGAUGACUCAACUUUGUACUAACUUUACACUAGUAGAAAACAGGCAUUUGUCCCGGUUCGUAAGGGCCUUUUGUCCCGGUUUAAGAACUGGGACAAAAAGGUCGGUACUAAUGCCCUCCCCCUUUAGUCCCGGUUCUUACACGAACCGGGACAGAUGGGCCUCCACGUGGCCACUGCGGGCAGCCCAGACAAGGGGGCCUUUGGUCCCGGUUGGUGACAUGAACCGGGACCAAAAGGCUUCCACGCGUCAGCAGCUGGCUGGAGCUGAGGUUUUUCUUUUUUUAAAAAAAAAAGUGGCUGGUUUAGGGGUUUUGGGGUUAAUUUAGGUUGUUAUUAGAUAGCUAAUAGGGAGAAGUGUCCUCUCUUAUAUCUUCGUCCUUGGUUUACCAACGCUACUGCUAUGUUCAUUUCACCCGCUGAUAUAUAAUAACUCAUGCUCGCAUCAUACAUCAUCAUAUAUAAUAACAAGUCCUACUAAUCAUGCAUCAUCAUACAACUUCUACUUAGUAUUAAUACUAAGUCAUACGAUCAUCAUCCUCAUAGUCAUCGAACCCAACCCUACAUAAUUGUUCUUAGCACAUGAUCAUCAGUGUCAGAUAGGACCUAAACACCCUUAAGGUAAAAUAGCAUAAACAAUAUAGACCCUGACUCUCCAUUAUGGAGAAUGGGGAUCAUCCUAUCUCCAAUUAUUGCGCUUCACUUCCUUUUGCUUCCAAGAAGCUCCUUACGACUGUCCAUACAUUUUUUCCAUUCUUUGAUUGUCAUGUCUCCACUUCUUUUAGAAAUCCGGUAUGGACAGUUGAGAUUCGUAGGAUGACCUGGUUGUAUGUUCAAAACAUCAAGGCGACCGUGCACAUACAUCAGAUGAGGCACACAAUCAUUCGGGAUUAUCUGUUAAAAAACAUAGUAAUAACUUCAUAGUUAGCAAUGAUGUACUAAUUUUAGAAGUAUGUAAAAAGAUGCACGAAUGUCGUAAUAGUAAAAAAUCUUUCCAGGGUAUCUCCAUGGUAGUUACCGUAGUUCACACGUGCACUAGUGGCACGUAUUGACCAUAAUGUUGAGGAGUUCGAUUGUAGAUAUUGUAAUUCUCAAGAUCAGUACAAAAUGCGAUCAGAUGAUUUUUCUCCUUAUAAGUUAAUUCAGAGCCAUCGGUGUAGUGGGUUUUGUCUACCAUCUUCCGCACAUUCUUUGAAGAAUGAAAAUAAGCUGUCAAUGGAAAUAAGCUAUCAACUAUUUCGAAAUAAACAAUAUAAAUUACUUAAAAACUAUGUUUGAGAAGCUCACAUAGGGGGAGAAUUGGAAGUGUAUCCACAAGAACCCAAAUGUCCAUAUUGUCUUGCUCGAUUGUAGGAUCACCAAGAUCAAUGAUGACAAGCAUACCCUCAUCAAAACCAUACAUCUUGCAAAGUGCUUCUCAAUUUUUGCAACCAAAAUGGGUUACACUCUCAGCAUUGUACAACUUUACUUCAAAAUCCACACCAUGAUGGGUCCUUAGGUGAAUUUUUUGGUUUCCAUACUUUCAUGGUCUUCAAAACCCAUCCUCUCCAAGACAUAUCGUCUUGCAUAGCAUGGGAUAAGCUAGUCGAAUUGGAAAAGAUGAAAAAUACACGUUUAAAUAGUUGAAGUCGUGCUUAAUUACGAAAAAAACUAUUGUCGUCGUUGCGUAUCGUAUGAACAUCGAAGGCCUCCUCGAGCCUAAUGCUGAAGCGCCGAUCUUCGUCUAGCUCAAGGAACCUGUCGCACAUACCUCGGUCGUCGUGGCACUAGUCGCACUCCCCCGAGCGAUUUUCGUCGUCCGAGUACGACAUUUCCGGCCUAUGUUCAUGAUUCAAAUAUUAAACUUGUACAAUUAAAUAUAUGUACUAAAAAACCUAAAUUAGAUCAUUAUUAUUAUUAUCGGGUUGACUAUCGGGAUUAUUACACCAAAUUGUCUAGCACACGGGAAUGAAGGAGAAGCUACCCCCACGACGGCGUGGAUGAUGGAGGGGGCUCCUAGAUUUCUGCAUAGAGUGCUCCUCAAUUUUAGCAUUCAAAGUAGGAGUACUUUUCCAAUAUGAGCAUUCAAUAAGCAAAACCAAAUCGUAAAAAAAAACAGUAUUCCAAUUAGCAUGCAUUCAAUUAUAACCAAAAGUACAUCAUCUCUUGUGUCCGUACAUCGUCAAAUAUUAUCACUAAUACUCCUCGAAUAAUAUCAUACAUAUAGCAUCACUAAUACAACUAGAACCGUAGCGCCCGACGGGUAUCGUCGCGGGCGGUGGACAUCCAAAGAUAAGGAACCAUCACAUGAUCAUAACUCCAGUGAGAUCCCUGAAGAACCUGCCAGGUAUUGUCGAACCUGCCCUCCAACGCAACCAUAUAGCGACGGACGUGCUCGUCCUCCUCGCUGACACGGUGACGUAUCACCUCCACGGUGUCCGGAAGCCUCGGCACCGUCACUGGCCCACGCGACCGCCACCAAAUAAGGAUCGGGUCAACAACGGGCUGGCUCCUCACCAACCUACGUCCCUCGGAAGGUAGCACCUCCCAAUACCUGCCCGACGGAGCCCAGUCCUGGACAUGGCCCUGAUCAAGCAGGCCUCCACCGCCGAGUCGACGACGAGGAAGCGGGAUAGGCAUCGUCGACGUCGAUGCGGGAACUACUUCUAUAUAUAAUAAAAUAAAGUAGUUUUAUUAAUUAAAUCAACUAGUUCAACUACUAAGCACUUACUAUAAAUAAAUAAAGUAGUACUUACUAAAAAUAAACUACUUCUAUAUAUAGUAAAAUAAAGUAGUUUAUUAAAUCAACUAGCUAGUUCAACUAUAUAUUAAGCACUUACUAUAAAUAAAAUAAAGUAGUACUUACUAAAAAUAAACUAGUUUAACUAUAGUUCUAUUAUUUUUCUAACUAAUUAUAUUAAACACUUUCUCUUCUUAUUUUCCUUUUUCCUCUAUUCUCAAUAUGAACAUAUUCAUAAAUGACUUUGAUCAUGCACAAUUUCCUAUACAUACAAAAUAUGAACAUAUACAUAAAUUGACAAAAAAAUUCUGUGAACAAAAUAAUCAUUAAAAUUCUAUGAACAAAAUUACAACAGAAAAAAAUCAUAAAAAUUCUAUGAACAGAAAAAAUCAUAAAAAAUUGACAUAUUCGAUCUUUGCAUGUAUAUGAACAUACAAACAUGCAUAUUCAACAAUAAUAUCACCAAAAAAAUCUAUUAAUAGAAAAAUCUACCACAAUAUUUACAAAUUACACAAUAUGAAAAAAAUCUAACCCAAAAAUCUAUGAACUACACAUCUAAAUUACUACACAUCUAACAAAAAAAUCUAACAAAAUGUAACUCAAUUAACUACACAUCUAAAUUAUACUACACAUCCAAAUUAACUACUACAUCAAAUUAAAUUAGCAAAAAAUUUGCUCACGGGGUGGCGACGGCAUGAGGGGCGCGGCGAGGGCGAGGGCGACGGCGACGGCCACGGUGCGUGAGGGGCGGCGCGGUGACGGUUGACGGUGAGGGGCGGCGCGGGGCGGGGUGGCGACAAGCAGGGGCCGACGGUGUNNNNNNNNNNNNNNNNNNNNNNNNNNNNNNNNNNNNNNNNNNNNNNNNNNNNNNNNNNNNNNNNNNNNNNNNNNNNNNNNNNNNNNNNNNNNNNNNNNNNNNNNNNNNNNNNNNNNNNNNNNNNNNNNNNNNNNNNNNNNNNNNNNNNNNNNNNNNNNNNNNNNNNNNNNNNNNNNNNNNNNNNNNNNNNNNNNNNNNNNNNNNNNNNNNNNNNNNNNNNNNNNNNNNNNNNNNNNNNNNNNNNNNNNNNNNNNNNNNNNNNNNNNNNNNNNNNNNNNNNNNNNNNNNNNNNNNNNNNNNNNNNNNNNNNNNNNNNNNNNNNNNNNNNNNNNNNNNNNNNNNNNNNNNNNNNNNNNNNNNNNNNNNNNNNNNNNNNNNNNNNNNNNNNNNNNNNNNNNNNNNNNNNNNNNNNNNNNNNNCGACGGCGUCGGGGCGGCGCGGGACGGCGCGGGGCGACAACGGCGACGGCGAGGCGGAGAUGGGCAGCUUGGCGGCGUCGGGGUGGGGAAGAACGAAACUGAACGAAAUUUUGACGAGUGCCAGUUAUAUAGACGACGCAUUGGUCCCGGUUCAUGAGACAAACCGGGACUAAUGCGACCUUUAGUCCCGGUUGGUGCCACCAACCGGGACCAAAGGCCUCUUUUCAGCAGCCCAAAGGGCGGGAAGCAGAGGCCUUUGGUCCAGGUUGGUGGCACCAAUCGGGACUAAAGGUGGGGCAUUGGUACCGGUUUGUGGCACCGACCGGGACCAAUGCAACCCUUUAGUCCUGGUUUGUGCCACCAACCGGGACUAAAGGUCUUGUGCUGCCCGCGUCGCGGCACGAAAGUUUGGUCCCACCUCGCUAGCUGAGGGAGCUCGAGAGUGGUUUAUAAGCCCCAGUCCCGCUGCCCUCUCGAGCUCCUCUCAAAUGCAGGCUUACGGGACUAAACGCACUAUAUGUGCCUGUGGGCCUAUUGGGCCUACUGCGGGCCUGAAUCCUGGCCCAUUGUUGGGUUUCUAGUCGUAUUCAGGCCUGGUGGCCCUUUAGGUGGCACUUUUUUAUUUUUUUUGUUUUAUUUUUUGCUUUGAAUUAUUUAUUUUCUUUUGAUUUUUGCUUUAUUUUUUUAUUCUUUUUUCUUUUAGCUCAGAAUAAUUAUAAUCUUUCUGUUACUCCAUUAGUUUCCAAAUUUGAAUAAUUAUAAUCUUUAUGCAACUAAAAAUAUAUUUGGAGUGAUUCUUUUUCCUUCUAUCUAAUAUUACUACGUUUUAUCAUUAUAUUGAAAAACAGAUUUUGUUAGUUUAGUUUCUAUCAAAAAAAUCUUUACGACAAUUCUUUUUGCUACUAAAGUUUCUAACAAAAAAUUCUUUAUGAUAAUUAUUUCUGCUUUUCAUGUUUUGAACAGAAAAUACUUUGAUAAUUUUAGUUGCAUAAAUUUUAUAUAAUUUUAGUUUAAAAAAUACUAGAGGUUUAUAAAAGCUUUUUAGUUGAUUCCUUUUGCUAUUAGAGUUUUAUAAAAGCAUUUACUGGUUUUUUUAGCUAUAAGACCUUGAAAUUGAAAAGCAUUUCAAAUGAACUCUGAAAAGGUUGAAAGUUGGCGUGAUAUCAUCAUUUCACCCACAUAGCAUGUGCUAAAAAGUUGAGAGGGUUAUGGAAAAACAGGAUACACUUCGUGUACAAAAUUGACAAUCUCUUUCGAAGUAUCGGGGUUUCAGACGAAAACUCAUCUGUUACACAGGGAUUUCAUUUUUUUAAACUUAUUUGAACUCCUGACUUUUUGUGUGUUCAAAAUGCACCAUUCAAAGCCACAUCAUCAAUUUUCAACCCUUCUGACUUCAUUUGUUAUUUUUCAUGCAUUUAUUGAUUAUUUUGAGCUAUAAGACCCUGAAAUUUAAAAGCAUUUCAAAUGAACUCUGAAAAGGUUGGAAGUUGGUAUGGUAUCAUCAUUUCAUCCACAUAGCAUGUGCAAGAAAGUUGAGAGGGUUACGGCAAAAACUGGAUGCACUUCAUGCAUAAAACGGACAAUCUCUUUCGAAGUAUCAGGAUUUCAUACGGAAACUUGUCUGUUACAAUAGGCAUUUCAAAUGAACUAUGAAAAGGUUGAAAGUUGGCAUGGUAUCAUCAUAAUAGUUGUGGAGAAAGUCUUCACUUUUUCUUCGCUUGUCUCCUUUCCUUAUUGCGCCGUAACCAUGGAUAAUCUUCAUCAUUUAUCAGGAUGCUUGGGUCAGCCUUGACUUUGAAGGAAGGAAUUUCAUGAAACUUUUCAUAAUCUUCGGACAUGUCUGUCUUGCCCUCCACUCCCACGAUGUCCCUUUUUCCUGAAAGAACUAUGUGGCGCUUUGGCUCAUCAUAUGAUGUAUUCGCUUCCUUAUUUUUUCUUUUGGUUUGGUAGACGUGUCCUUCACAUAGAUAACCUGUGCCAAAUCAUUUGCUAGGACGAACGGUUCGUCAGUGUACCCAAGAUUGUGCAGAUCCACUGUUGUCAUCCCGUACUAUGGGUCUACUUGUACCCCGCCUCCUGACAGAUUGACCCAGUUGCAUUUAAACAAAGGGACCUUAAAAUCUACUCCGUAGUCAAGUUCCCAUAUGUCCACUAUGUAACCAUAAUAUGUAACCUUUCCUCUCUCGGUGGCUGUAUCAAAGCGGACACCACUGUUUUGGUUGGUGCUCUUUUGAUCUUGGACGAUCGUGUAAAAUGUAUUCCCAUUUAUCUCGUAUCCUUUCCAAAUCAUUACAGUCGAAGAUGGUCCCCUGGACAACAAGUACAACUCCUCACAAACAGUGUUUUCACUUCUGAGACGUGUUUCCAACCAACUGCUAAAAGUCCGGAUGUGUUCACAUGUAAUCCAGUCGUCGCACUGCUCCGGGUGUUUGGAGCACAGACUGUUCUUGUGUUCAUCGGCAUAAGGGGUCACCAAGGUAGAGUUCUGUAGAACUGUGUAGUGUGCUUGAGACCAACAAUAUCCGUCCCUGCAUAUUAUUGUCUCCCCUCCAAGCGUGCCUUUUCCAGUCAAUCUCCCCUCAUACCACGAUUUAGGGAGACCUAUCUUCUUAAGCCCAGGAAUGAAGUCAACACAAAACCCAAUGACAUCCUCUGUUUGAUGGCCCAUGGAGAUGCUUCCUUCUUGCCUAGCGCGGUUACGGACAUAUUUCUUUAGGAAUCCCAUGAACCUCUCAAAGGGGUACAUAUUGUGUAGAAAUACGGCCCCCAGAAUAACAAUCUCGUCAACUUCAGGGUUAGCUUGUCCAGUGUGAAAUCGGGGCACGAGGCUUUGUCUCCUCUAGUAUAGCAUGUGGGAGAGGACGAUGAGACCCCGCCGUGGAUUGGAAGCUGCAAGGGUUGGGUGCUCCUAUGGCCGAAUAAUCUUAUUCAUCUGGAGCCGGCCGAGAACACAACAAUAACCACACAUCAACAAGCAUGUGCGGAGACCACCACCCCGCCUACGCAAUUACCAGCUCUUGUAGUGCUGGGUGAGAGCGGCAGAUGAUGUGAUGAAGGGGGUGCAAUAGUACUGGCUGAUGUAAUCGGUCCUGUAGAACAGAGAAUGGAUGAUGAGACGGAGGUCGACCCUAUGGGUUUCCUCAAUACAAACGUGUAUGACUGUGACGUAGAUAUGAUGAGUCAACCAUAUGACGAAUCGGGCUAUCAGCAUGCUAAUGAGGAUAUGGAUGAUAUGCCCGGGCAAGAAGGUCAUUGGAAGGAUUGCAAAAAGUCUCUCUUCAUGAAUUCCUCAUAGGACACGCCUGAAGAUGCCGCGUCAACACAGGCUCAACUAGCCGGGGGUCGUACAGUGCUUAGCCCGGGAACCCUGGGGCAGGGGUUAAGGAAGGGUCUGGAAGGUGUGCCCAAGAAAAAGGAGAGAAAGAGAUCGGGGAAGAUAACUGCCUCCAAACAAGCCAGAGCACAUAGCAGCCAGACGAUGGAUUCUGAAGAGCGUGUACCCGUGAAAGGUGCGGCCAUGUUCCAUCUCACGGGUGAGCCGAUGCUACCGCCGAAACUGCUGGAGGCACUACCAGGGGAUCUCAGGAGACUGCACGACCAUGUGCUGUCGACUGAGAAAAGCCUACUAGCCUCAAAGGAUCCAGGAUAUCCGACAUGCGCGGCUCGUGUGCCUGAGGGGAAGUGCUACGUCGAGACACGGCCCACGGAGGUGUUCUUCCUGCGGUUUGACCAUAUCUUUGAGAUGUUUCUAACAAGGCGGCUCGAUUUUACAAUUGUCCGCCUUUUUGUUCUACAUAUGAGCUCCAUCAUGAAAAGUGAAGAAGUCUCACAAAUCUGUGUGGCAGAUCCGUACUACAUGCAUGAGUCUUUCUUGAGUCUCGGCGACUUUGAGCGUGAAACUGCUAGGGACUACCUCCAAAACUUCAUGGUACAGAAUAAGGAUCGGGAAAUUGUCUUCGUGCCUUAUCAUCCAAAGUAAGUCAGUUUCGGACAACCCUUUCGUACAUUUCAAUCAUUCCUUCUCGCUCAUACGGAGAAUAAUUUGAGGUGUCUUUUCCCCACAGCAACGGGCGCGCCGUCCUUAUCGUUCUUUACCCGCAAGUCUCCCAUGCCGUGUAUUUUGACCCUUCCGGAGACUACGAGAAAAAGGACUACACCCACAUAAUGAAUAUUCUAGAUGAUGCUCUCCAAGGCUUCAACAUUAGAGGUGGCCACAUGCAGAUCAUGAAACAAAGGAACAAGAAGAUGGGUUUCGCACAUAAAACUAACUUCUCCUGCAUCCAUGUCCCAAAACCAAGAAAGAAGGAUGGAUUCUACAUCGUCCAUCUCAUGAUUCAGUUCAACACGGAUCACCAAAAGCUUCGCAUGACAAGUAGAAAUGAUGAUCAUAUCCACAAGUGGCUAGAAUCUCAUGGAGAAGCGGAUUAUAAACUUAGAGAUGACUUCUUUCGCAUCCAAAGGGACAUUGCGACGAUCAUCAUGAAAGAAGUCAUCGAUGAGAAGGGGAUGUUCCACCACGGCCCUAUAUCGCGAGCUGACGUCCAAACUCGCAUAGGCAUGCAACGUCUAGAUCUCAUGCCGUUCAAGAACCUAGGGUCCAUCCUCGAUGAUAUGGAAGGAUGGAACUUCUAGUGAUUUAUGAUGCCGACUAUGAUGAUAUGUGUCGGUUGAACUUGUAUAUUUUUUGUAGCGAUGAAACUUUGUGAUGUCUACGGUCCCUGCCGAACUUGCGUAACGCUACUUUGUUAGUUUGCGUACGAUGACCUGCGUACCUCUAUUUAAUUAGUUUGCGUACUGUAUGUUGCAUCUAGUUGCUAACCCUUUCUUUUUCGUGUUGCUCUAGUAUAUUUUGUUGCAUAUGAUUGUACAUCCUCUUCAUGAAGAUGCAUGUCUAACAUGUACCUAGUUUCUUGAUGGCGAGAUGGAAGUGCUAUGUCGUGUACAAAGGGAAGGUUCCGGGGGUGUACGACGAGUGGCCUGAGUGUCAGGCACAAGUGAAUGGGUUCUCGGGCGCCAGCCAUAAAGGCUUCAAAAGCAGACAAGAAGGAGAAGCUAGUUACUUGAGGUUCACGCUAGAGCGAGAGAGGACUCGUAACCGCCGCCUCAUGUACUGUAUAGUUCCACUCUCACUCAUAGUGAUAGCUCUUCUCGCCUAUACCUUUGUUUAGAUGGAUAACAUUGUAGUUGCAAGUAUUCGAGACUUGCAUGUAUCGCUAUUUUCGAGAUGAUGACAACAUACCACUUUGUGUUGGAUGAUGAUUAUGAUGAGACUAUUUGUAUAUAUAUGCUAUGAUUACAUUUGUGGUCUCGCAGACAUUUGUAUGUGUAUCAUGAUGACAUUUGUAUGUGCUAAAGAUUCUUCUAUAAAGCCUAUUCAAAUACAAAACAAAUAUGCAGAAAAAAAACAAAAACUAUUAAAAUUAGCAGUAGCGAGUGGAGAAAAGUAAGCAACAGCGCGAUAGUAGCAGUAGCGCGCACAGGAGAAGCGCGCUAUAGCUAUUAGCAGUAGCGAGCUCCACCGAAGAACGUUGCUGCUACACUUGUAUAUCAGUAGCGCGGGCGCGCACGCGCUGCUGCUACGGGUUAGCUGUAGCACCUUAUUAGUAGCGCCGCCUCCCGCGCUACUGAUAUACCUAGAACCCGCGCUACUGCUAGGCUUUUCCCUAGUAGUGAAAUGAAUAAAAGAGGAUGUAUCUAUACAUCUAGAUACAUCCCCUUUUAUAUAUUUUGAUGACAAGUAUUUCCAGACGGAGGGGGUAUAUUUAUAUAAUUAACCACUAGCAACUAGGAACACAACCGCUAGAGUCGUGCUAUGCACAGGACAAAUUUUGAACGAUUCACACACGAAGAUUGAAUACUGCUGGACAUGCAUAUGAGUGAGAAGGGCACUAGCCGCUGGAUUUGCAUGUUGUGCACAGCUCGGCCACAAGUAUCGUUUGUGGAGCAGUUUCACAUUAGCUAAUGGCGCAUCAUACUAGUCCACGUUUCAACAGGGCAACCCUACAAAAUUGGUGUGCUACAUAUAUAAGACUUACAUACACAACAAUAGCAUGCAUUAUUCAAAAGAGCAACAUCCUAGUGUAAUCCUCCAGAGCGGGGAGCCUCUGCUCAUCGUCAUAGCCAUACAUGAUGCUGACCAUCCUUGCAAAGUUGAGAGACGCCCCGAUGAAGCUAGGUGGUAGUGUGGACUUUGUCUGAGAGAAGCAUUCCCUGUUUAGAUGCUCCCAUUCACCCGCUAUCAUAUCCAACAUGUG
This 82907-nucleotide long non-coding RNA is filed under the name Triticum aestivum (bread wheat). RNAcentral's name for it is "long non-coding RNA (TAES_LNC011308)". The record is from RNAcentral. Lineage: Eukaryota; Viridiplantae; Streptophyta; Magnoliopsida; Poales; Poaceae.